CUCCCUGAUUCAUCUCUCCGCUUGAUCUUCUCUCCCCCAUCUGGUUGGUUCUAAAAAGCUUUUCUCAAUCCAUCCAUCCAUCCAUCCUUCCUUCACCGGUGAGAUCUCCCACUCCUCAUAGUAGUAGCUCGCUCUCUCUCUCUAUAUCUCUCUACGCUUGGAUGCAUCCUUUAUUUUUGGGGGGUUAUUGACUGGGGACUGGCGCGUGCAGGGGAAUUUCGACUCGAUCCGCAGCAAUGGCGACGAAGAAGAGCGUCGGAUCCCUCAAGGAGGCCGAUUUGAAGGGGAAGCGGGUGUUCGUCAGGGUCGAUCUCAACGUCCCCCUCGACGACAGCUUCCACAUCACCGACGACACCCGGGUUCGCGCCGCCGUUCCCACCAUCAAGUACUUGAUGAGUCACGGCGCUAUUGUCAUCCUCGCCUCUCACUUGGUAACACUCUUCUUCAUCCAAGUUUGUUCCUUUCUUUCUCUUUUUUCCCCUUCUUUUGGCGUCGAAAGUCGUUUCUUUUGAGGGUUAUCGAAGCGAUCGCGCAGAUCGAGCUGUGUCUUUGAGCUGUCGAUGCUGUCUUCCUCUCUGACCUGAUUCGCAAUGAAUAGAUCUGUGUACUCGGGCUGGACUCGUUAUGGAUCUUAUUCUCUGUAGCACGUCCUCCGUGAUCUGUUCCCUGCUUUCUCGCUCGGAUGACCGUUCUCGUGUCACCACCUCCUGUGCUUGCUUGAUUUCAAUGCUUUAUUGCGUGACCGUCGAACUUUUCAGUUUCUUGCUUCGUAUGUUGCACAUCUUUUAGUCUGAUUUUUAUUUUGUUUUUCUUCGGGGGAAAGGGGAUUCAUUUCAUAAGGCUAUCUUGUUUCGUCGUGCUGGUUUUUUAUUUUCGAUCCUUCAGUUUGAUGACCGAUGUUCUUCUUCAUUAGGGAUGAAAUCGAAAUUCCCUUUGCAGUCGACCUUAGCUCUUGCUUCACUUGUUUCUUUCUUCUCAUCAUCCACUGGGUAUUGGCAGUGGUGACUGGGGAUGAUCAUAUUUGUCCAACUGGUCGUUUUUGUAAUCUCUUUGCAAGUAGCGUGCCGAUAUCAAUCGCAUGCUCUGCUGCUUCUUUAUAUCGUGUGGGUUUUUUUUGUGUCCACGGCAGAGAUAUAUUAAUGGUUCAGUAUUCUCGGUGCUUUUCAGGGACGUCCCAAGGGUGUCACGCCCAAGUACAGCUUGAAGCCCCUCGUGCCUAGACUAUCUGAGCUCCUCGGAGUAGAGGUUUGGUUCUUGAAAACUGGGUUCGUCUAUGUCUCUCUACUCAUUCGCUUUCAUUCCUUGAUCCUUCUUCCUGUUGCUGCCAUUGUCCUAUAGGUUAAGAUGGCAAAUGACUGCAUCGGCGAGGAAGUCGUGAAACUGGUUGCUGAGACACCGGAAGGAGGAGUUAUCCUUCUUGAGAAUGUUAGGUUUUACAAGGAGGAGGAGAAAAAUGAUCCAGAGUUUGCAAAGAAGCUUGCUUCUCUCGCAGAUCUUUAUGUUAACGAUGCAUUCGGCACUGCUCACAGAGCCCAUGCUUCUACGGAAGGUGUCGCCAAGUAUGUGAAGCCCGCUGUUGCUGGGUUCCUUAUGCAGAAGGUAUGCAAUUCAUCUUUUCUGCUGCUUUGUUGGUACGAUACGAAAACUUUCUAGCACGUUACGUUUUCUUAUUUAAUUUGCAAAAGAUUUAAUCUGCUAUUUUGACUAUCUAAAUGGACAUGCCUGAGAUGCUGAAAAGUGUUAAUAAUUGGUGAUUCUAGGAACUGGAUUAUCUUGUUGGGGCUGUGGCAAAUCCAAAGAAGCCUUUUGCCGCUAUUGUUGGCGGAUCAAAGGUUUCGAGUAAAAUUGGAGUGAUAGAGUCGCUUUUGGAGAAGGUUGACUUGCUCUUGCUUGGUGGAGGAAUGAUGUUCACUUUCUACAAGGCCCAAGGUCUUUCUGUUGGUUCAUCUCUCGUGGAGGAAGACAAGCUUGACCUUGCAACUUCACUUCUUGAGAAGGCCAAGUCCAAGGGCGUGUCUUUGCUCCUUCCUACUGACGUGGUUAUUGCUAACAAGUUUGCUGCUGAUGCUGAUAGCAAGGUUGGUCUCAUUCCUAGCAUAAAUAUUUCUUGAAUGUUUGUUGAAAUAUCAAAGUUGCUCCAAAAUAACUCUGCGAUGUCUAACUUAGUAGGAGAGACUUGCUGCUUAUGUGAUUAUUAAUCUUAAAGAACGUGGUCUCUCUUUCUCUCUCUCUCUCUCUCUCAUAAGUGAGAUAUUGACCAGACGUUAUUUUUCAGAUUGUCCCAGCAUCUGCUAUUCCGGAUGGUUGGAUGGGUUUGGAUAUUGGUCCCGAUUCCAUCAAGACAUUCGGUGAAGCUUUAGACACAACCAAAACCGUCAUCUGGAAUGGACCGAUGGGUGUGUUUGAGUUUGAAAAGUUCGCUGCGGGAACAGAGGUAUGUCAAAUUUUUCUUGUGCUGACUCCACAUUAGUACUUUCUGUUGAACUACUAAACGAAACUUGCAAUAAGCACCAAAAAUUGCAUUUGAAAUCUUCCUUCUUUCUUUUUUCCUUUACCUGAGAGAAAAUAGUUGGCCUCCGUAAGAGCCAAAGAUAAUUGUCAGUUCAUACUUGCUACAGUCCUGAUGUUUCUUUUAGGUUAUACAAACCUCUGAGGAUCUUUCCAUUUAUUUAGAUGAUAAGCUUCUUAUGUGCGUCUUUUGCUGCUGUGCAGGCAGUAGCAAAGAAGCUGGCGGAGCUCAGCGGAAAGGGUGUGACUACAAUCAUUGGAGGUGGUGAUUCCGUUGCUGCUGUGGAGAAGGCUGGGUUGGCGGACAAGAUGAGCCACAUCUCAACCGGAGGUGGUGCCAGCCUGGAGCUUCUUGAGGGAAAAACACUUCCUGGAGUUCUUGCACUAGAUGACGCUUGAGCUCGAAGCUUUUUCCCCAUCCCUAUGCUAUCGUGUAAUUUUGGUGGUGCUUCUUCAUAUGCUGGUGUAUAACCAGGAUGUUAAAACCACAUCAGAGCUCCUACUGUCUGUGGACUUUCAUAGAAUAAGCAAAUUUUGUUGGGUGAAUUUUAUGCUGCGUUUCUUGGAUGCGGAUUCUCUGAAUAACAAUGAUCUAGCUACUCGAGUUUUGUACAUUUGCUUUCAGGCAUUGAAUGCAGUUAAGAAGCAUCGGCUUGUUUUUUUACGUUAUUUCAUUUCCAAUUGCCCAUAUCUUGCACCCAGGAGGAUGUUGACAGCAGAGCUGGAGGAGCAAUCCUCUUUACCUGGUGUCCCUAGUUUGUGACAUUGCCAUCAUGGGUGUUAUCCGGAUGGUCCUCUUUCAUGUCUUCUUUGCAUGCAUUGGGAAUAUUUCGGGUUGUUGCGGUCUUUUUAGAGGAUUUGUGAUCGGGAGGAAGUUGUUAAAGGAGCCUUAUCAGGAGCAUCAUACUUGCUUGCGCAUGUUGAAUGCGAAAUGAGAAAAUAUUGGAUUUCUAAAGCAUUGAGUACACAUCUUAUGAUAGAAAUCUCGCAUUGGAAUUGGAAAGAUGUUUGCCUACUUCUUAGGGCACUCUGUUAAAAACUAGGUAUCUUGGCAGAACUCAGAUACAAAGUCACUUCGUCCUUGGGUUGGAAGCAAUCUCAGUCUCCUGUUGCAGAUGGUAGCCAUUAGCCAACAAGAGACCGAUGGAGGUUGGCAACUAAAAUGAGGGCAUCUACAUAUUUCUGGAAGAGAACAUAAAGGAGCUCGUUGUCGAGCCACCUCUACCGAUUGAAUGAAUUUCAGGACAGGGCCAAUUAAAGGUAAACACGAUGGAUUACAAGAUGGAGCAGCUCCCAUUGUCCCUGGAAAUGUCACAAAUGGUCAAUCAGACAAAAGAACGCAUUACAGUCUGAACGUAUGUAGUAUUCGAUACUCACCUCUUCACGUCUCCGUAGUUACUCAGAGCUUCCUCGAAUUUAAGCCACAGUGGACCCGUCUCCUGAGCUUUCACAUUCUCUGGGCCACCAAGAUAUGCUUGAACAACAAACUGAGGUGUUCUUUCCCUGUUCAUUGUCAUCAAAAGAAAGCAUGAAUUGGUGAAAGACGUACUUCUACAGAGAAAUAAGGUAUCCAAUUUUUCCAAUUAUAUUUUCCAUAAGAAUACCCACCUGCCUUCGUAUUCUGAUAACCAAGCCAAAUAGGCUGCACCAAAGUACAUGGAUACAAAAGGCUUGUGUAGAUCAUCGGCAAUUUCAACUUUGUAAGCCCUGUUUCCCAACUCACUGUGCAUAUAAUAGUAGUGACGCAGUUUAGGCGCUACUCUAGCAUACCCAAGUAACGGCGAUGCAAAAUUGAAAUCCAAAAGACCACUUUCUUAAGUCUUCAUAUAUAUCAAGAAACCAGUGCUUACCCCGUCUGAGUUGAUGUGAAAGCUGAAAUUAGUGUAUUUUCCAUAUGAAUUAGGCGAUGUCUACCUGAGGUGAAAUAACUUUGGAGACUGCAUUCAGCUAGUCUAUGUGGUAUGAUUACUGGGCGAACCCUAUGAUGUUGUUUUCGACUGAGGUUAUACAAGUCAGCUUUAAAUAUAUGAGAGGAAGCGAAGGUCCAGUUCAGCAUAGACACCACUUAAUCAAACACUCAUUUUACAGAGCAGUCUGACAUACUUGUAAAGCCAUAAAGCUGUUGGGAAGUCGAUCCCCAUUAGUCCAGUACGUUCUUUAACCCCAUCCACAAAACGCAUGCUAACCACCUCUGCAAGCGCACAUAGGACUGUCUGCAGGGAAAAUUGAAAUUCAGAUGUAGUUUAUCCAGAAAAAAAAGGUACUAAACUAGUUGAAUCCUCUUGAUACCCAACGAGUAAGCUAGAAAACCCAAGUAAGAAAAAACAUCCUCCAACUUAACCCCAGAAGAUAACAGAUCCACCGCAUCAUACAAGAGUGGAGAGUCAAGAUUCAACUGACGAAGUACUUAAACAAACCAGGGAUUUUUUUUCUAAUUUUUACAUGAUACAUAGUUCCUAAAACUUGGGAAACCCUUUCUAUCAUUCUUUUUCCUCUCUCACUCUUAUAAUUAAGGUGGGUAUAUUCACUACUCCAGAAAACAAGUAAGAAACCCAUCAGCUUUCCCCAUCCCUCCAUACUAAUUUCUGUCCAUCAUAUAGCCAUCAGGGAGCAAAAUACAUUUUUGCGGUACCCAACAAUUCAACUAAGCAACAAACCAUUCUAUGUCUACGUUUAUAGCGUGCAAACCAUUGAGUAGAUUUAGGAAUGCUUGGUCACACGAUUCAAAAAAGUUGAUUUUUGGUUUCUCUGAAAAGCAUAAAGUUGAAAAGCAAACAGAAGGUAAGAAAAGCACUUUGCUGUAAAUUAUAGCUUAGUGAAACCUUUCAUUACCUCAAAAAAUACAUUUAAGAAACUUCCUUUGAUUUUACGAUGUUCAACCAACACCGCUAUAGUCUAUCAAACAAGAAAGCUUUCUGCCUCAUACUGCAUUAAGGACCGGUAACAAAUCAGAUAUUUGAUACCAUCCUUCGCAAUUCAAAAUCACAAUUGCAGCAUUUUGUGAACAAACAGAUUCGCGAAUAAAAGCUUUUCCAAAUUUCCUCCCAUCUAUGCAUAUGACAUAUCCACACAGUCCUCAAGAUAAUCUUGCCAAUAAUAGUAAAGGCCACCGACAAGGCAAGUGGAGUCAACAAAAGACAAGCAUGUACAGACUGAUACGAAGAAUUAAGUAUGAUUAAAUUUAUAUAGAUACUUACAGGUUUAACUUUUCUUGAUGCAAAGUGUCUCAGGAGGAUGAUUUCGGCAAUUGCCUGAAAGAAGUCGGCACAACUUAUUGAGAAUUGAUAUGUUUCUCAAUAAUACAAGUCCAUCCUAGCAGUUAGCAAGUCUGCCAAGAUGAACGUACUGCAAAAAUGAACGACCAAAUUGCUAAGUCCUAUCCAUACCCUCACUUCCACACGGGAAACAUAUGGCUUCUUAGCCGCAUCAUGUGAAAAGCGCACUUUUCCACGUUUUUCUCCGGACUUGGUCCAUUCUUUAACAACAUCAGGGUGAUUCCACAUAUCUUCCAUAUCUUCAGGAGAAGCCCUGGAGUCCCAAUAUGUAUACGUGGUGCCUGCUAUUCCAUUUUUAAAUAAAAAAUAUAUAUAAAGGAGAAAUGAAUGCAAUAAUUGUCUCCCCUAAGCACUUCACAAACAUUUCCUUCAGUACACAUUUAAGAAUGUGAAGACUUUGGUUGCGCCUUCAACAGUUCACUAAUUUAUGUGAAGUUGUGAUAGCUGAUUAGCAAAAUGUAUGCCGGUUACUUAUCACUGACAAAUCAUCCAUUCUCUAUGAUAACAUCACUUUCAUUUAGUUCUCUGGGUCCAAUUUAUUACAAGGACAUGGAAGUAAUUUCUGGAGCUUCACAGUAUCAGAAAAGAAAUGAUACUUCUAUUCAUAAAACAAAAAGAAAAUGAGAUGAGAAGAAAAGAUUCAGACUGUCAUGAUUUUGAGUGGCAGAACACAGCUCCAAAAUAGGGGAACAUUGGAAAUGUAAAAACUUCAUUAUUCGUGUUCUUUUGUUGUACAUAUCAUUGCAUGCCCAUAAUUUUUAGCCAGAGCAUGCCCUGAUAAAUGUUGGAAAGAGAAAGUAUAAGAUGGAAAACGAAACUCAUGCAAGGAAUAGUGUCAGCUGAAAGUCAGAGGCUUAACUUGAGAAGCAAAGAAUGAUAAAAUUCAAUGUAAUUGAACUUUUGAUUUUUAUAACUCCCGACUUGCAGUGAAGUUUCUUCAGAUAUUUCAACUAACAUGAGAAUUAAUUAUGAGUGGUAAUACACCACAACAACCUGUAUCUGGUGCUGCAGAGGCUACAAGGAAAGAAGGAUCACUCAUCAGAGCUCCACAAUCAAAAGCUUUUCUGCGGAUCAAGAAUUACACGAAAUUUAGCACAACAUUGAUGGCUGGCUGAAGAUAGUUCAAAUCCAGGCCUCAAGAAUUAUGCUGACAAGCCUAUGAGCAGUUAACUGAAGGCGCUAAAUAAAUCUAAUUAAUGCAAAUAACAGAGAUGGAGCUUCCUCACAUGACAGCAGUGCAGCCAAUCUGAUACUAAAUUCUUGUGUUGUUUUUCUUAGUACAGAUAAUUUUUUUGUGGUGGAAUAGACAAUUUGUGAAUUCUAUAAUUAGCAUUUUACCACAAGCAACUCAUAGUCCAGUGAGAUCUUUCAUUCAACAAUUAGAACACUUACUGCAAGUUUUUCCUAUGGUUAAAACAAUACUUUCGCAGUCUAGUAAAUUCAGUGCGACACAACGUUACAAUGUGAGAUACUUUAACCCAACAAAAAAGAAGCAUUAGUCAUCCUAAGGCCAAAAUAAUCCUAAAGACGGGGGGCAUAUAGAUGUCAUCUCUGAUCAGAAAUCACACAAGAAGACACCUAUGGAAGCUCCAAAUCACCAUGCCUUUUCAAAGUCCCUAAUAGCAUAAUGGUUGAGACAUCUCAAGAGACUUUGCAAAUUGUACCGACAAGACAAUGAAGAUGAUACAAUGCACACAAUUUAAAUUGAAAAAAGAUUAACAGAAGGACAUAUUACCUGGAUGUGAAUGUUUCUUUGACUGAAAGAUACCGUUUCCAAUAUGGUAAAGUAGAUUUAUGAGUUGCUUUUUUUGUACCCCCUUUGUAGGCCCUGACUACAAACUCCUCGCUUCUUUCUCUAGAAGUUGAAUUUUUAUUGUCAGUGUAGACAAGAGCUUUGAAACCAAAAUUAUGUUCAUGCCAAAUGAAUUGGCUAUCAAGUCUAUGCCAAGAGGCGAAACCGUGAUUGAUACAUAGAGAAGGAAGAAGAAACAUACUUUUCCUCGAAGUUUGACAACCAUUUUAGGUAGGCAGCAGCAAAGUAAACAUUUACAAAAGGUCGAUAGAGAACUUCUUCAUUUCCUUGCACUUUAUAUGCAACAUAGCCCUGCUCACUGAAAAGAAAUCGUGCUUUAUGUUUGCAAAUGCAAGCGAACUACAGGAUGCAAUUUCCACCACAUGAAAAAGAAAAGGAGCAAAUAACAGACGCGUCGGAUUGGGAAUUGGCGUGGGAAAUGCAGAUUCUCAGCAAAGUGCGAUAAAAGGUUCGCAAAUAUCUUGGUGUUGAGGGGAAAUGAGAUGAAGAAAAUUGUACUUGGAAUCUAUCUGUACCUAUUCAACCAUUCUGCAGUUUUCGGUAAAAUCUGCAUGAUCCCCAGCGUAGUAUCCUUUGUUUUCUUGUUAUAUCUCGAAGCAAGAAUCUGUCUGUCGCUUUCAAGUUCUGCAAUAGCACAGAUCAUAUCCUGCAAAAUUGCACAGAAGACUCAUCUCAAUAAACUUUUAAAAGAAAAACUAUUGAAGAAUGCUUUUGAUGGAAGAAAAUAACGAGAAGAACUCUAUCUUCCUUUUGAUUUCACUCAAGGCACGUGGUGGCAAAAAACUAAGUAAAACCAAAAGAUCAUGCAGAAGUUGCACAACCACAUCGAAGAAGGCAUACAUACCGGAUCAACCUUCGACGAGAAAUGUCUACGGACAGUAAUCUCAGCCACAGCCUGAAAGAACAUCAACAAGGGCGUGAGGAAAACUGGGAAACAGGGUGAGAGACGAGGCAUUUACGUGCAGUAAGAUCUAAAAUUAAAUACGACAGGUACUUCGACAUUCUAUUGAUUAGGUUUGGCCGGAGAAGUGUCCACCAACCACGCUGAGUCAAAGCUAGAGAGGUCAAAAGAAUCCCGCUUCCUCGAAUAAUUUCGGCAUUUCCCCUCGAAAAUCUCGAACUUCUUCAUUAUUCGUUAAGAUAAUACAAGUUUGCGAAGCUCGAAGUGAGGCUCGCUACUCACAACUCCUCGUUUCCUAAGCACGACGACGUCGCCAUUGACGAGCUACCUAAGAAGAAAGGUAAUCAAAUCGGGGUUUACCCUCAUCUCAUUCUGAGUCAAGUAUUUCUGGCCAUCAGGAUCCCUGGAGAGGCAAACUUUCUGCCCCCUGGUCUCUCCGACGUUGGUCCACUCGGUGCUGACGUCGGGGAUCAGCCACAGCGCCUCCAUGUCGAGAUGAUCGACGCAAUCAUCCCAGUACUUGAAGCUGAUGCCCAUCGCGAGAAUCACAGACACCUGAUCCUCCUCAGGACAUCUAGGAACAAAAACAGAAGAAAGGAAGUCAGGCGAAAGCUAACGUAAACGCCGCCCGACGAUGGGGAGAUGAACAGACUCUCAGCUCCUAGGAGCGUGCGGAAACGACGUGAUUUCGAACGUGAAGAACGGGAGGCAAUGCAGGUACUGAUUCCUAGGCGUUCGAUGAAAUGCGAGGGAGAUUGAGGAGGGCGAAGGAUCGUGCGCACGUACCAGCUAGAGAGCGAGAGAGAGAGAGAGGGAUGGAGCGGGAGAGGCCGAUCGCGAAGAGAAUGGAGGAUGGCGGAGACUGGAGAGAGCAGCGGGGAAGGGGGAAGGGGAAAGGGGAAGGAAGGAGGGGUCGUCCAUUCUUGGCGGGGGGAGGUCUCCCGAUUUCCUCUCUCUCCUCCACGCUUUCCCUCCUUUUCGGUUUGCUUUGCCCGGACGGUCGCGCCCGCAAACUCCUUUGCCUGACGAUCCCAAACUGACGUCCGUCGUUGGAUCGCGUGAGCUGUCUCGGUUGAGAUCGUUCAGUUCAGUCCCCAUCGCGGAUUUUCAAGGGACGACGGAUCCCCCCCGCUUUCCUCUCUGUUGGAUAUUCGAAUCCUUCCCCCCCGCAUGCAUUUCGGCAAAAAGUACGUCGUGAAAAUGCUCGUCCAACACCCGAUGUCAGAUUUGGCGAAGGGGUGACCGGAUAAAUGAAACGACCAAGCGCCUGUUUGUUAUUGCGUUUUUAUGAACAAAAUUUCUGAUUUUUCGUUUCCGGAAAAAAAAGAAGAAUAAAAACGCAUUUAUUUGCAUUUUUGUUUCAAAUUUAUUUUUUUUGUUUUCAGUAACACGUUUGGAACAGAAACAAUAAACAAGUAAAACGUGUUUUUUGUUUUUAGAACAAUUUUUAAGAAUAAAUUUACUCUCUCAUCUCUUUUUCUUCUUUCUUUGACCGGCCUCAACCAUGGCCGGCGACCGACUGUCGAGGACCGGCGACCUCACCGGAGCGUCGCUAACCCCCAACGAGGCCGAGCGUCGUCGGCUCCUGGCGAGGCUUGGUCUCGCCUUGGUUAGGAGAGCUUAGGCUCGCCCAAAUCUGAUGAGCCCGAGCUCGCCUAACCACCGGCAAGGCUCGCCGGCUUGGCAGUGACCCGGCGAGGCCAAGCCUCGUCAAUGGCUGGGCGAGCUCGGGCUCGCCGGAUCUGGGCGAGCCCGAGCUUGCCCAGCCAAGACGAGGCCGAGCCUCGCCCAACCACAGCGAGGCUCGGCCUCACCGGGGGCCGGCAAGUCUUGUCGCGGCUGGGCGAGGCUACCGGCCCUCGUCGGCUGGUCGCCGACUAUGGCUGAGGCGGGCGACCAGCCAAAAGAAGAAAAAAAGAAAAAAUAUUAAAAAAUUAAAAGAAUACAAAUUUACCAAACGUGUUUUUGUUCAUUUUUUAUUCCCGCAACAAGCCAAAAGAAGAAAAAAAGAAAAAAUAUUAAAAAAUUAAAAGAAUACAAAUUUACAAAACGUGUUUUUGUUCAUUUUUUAUUCCCGCAACAAGUUUACCAAACGUGUUUUUUUAUUCAAAAAUUGUUUCCUGGAACAAAAACAUUUUUUUCUAUUUCUGUUCUCUGGAAUAAUUUUUAAAUAGAAAUGUUAUCAAAGACGCCCCAAUCAACCACAUCGUUAAUCCAGAUGAUAAGAAACUAUCGACUCAAAUUAUAUUUCCUUCUCUUAAUAUCUCGAGUACUUGAAUUAUGCAUUGUGAGAGCAAAUGAUUGCAAGUGGACUUGAUAAUGUGAAAUAAUCUUCAUAUAUUUCGAGUGACGCUACGGCCCAAAUAAAGACGUACAUAAUUUGACUACUAAGAUUUUUUUUUCGGGAGAAUUACCAAAAAAGUCCUAAACCUAUUUCAAUUGUGCCAAUUCAGGCCUAAACUUUUUUUUUGGCCAAUUUAAUCCUAAACCUUUUACAAUUGUGCCAAUUUAGUCUAUCUAGCCAAAAUUGGCCGGCCAGCGCUGACGUGGACGCUGGCCGACCGGCGAACCAUUUUUUAAUAAUUCUUUUUAUUUUUUUCGAUUUUUAAUUUUUUUUAAUUUUUUCUUUCUUUUUCUUUUCUUCCUAUCUUCUUCUUCCUCUGGCCGGCGCUGGCCGACCGGCCGGCCAGAGGAAGAAGAAGAUAGGAAGAAAAGAAAAAGAAGAAAAAAAAAUUAAAAAAAAUUAAAAAAUCGAAAAAAAUAAAAAAAUUAUUAAAAAAUCGUUCACCGGCCAGGCGGCGUCCAUGUUAGCACCGGCCGGCCAAUUUUGGCCGGAUGGACUGAAUUGGCACAAUUGUAAAAGGUUUAGGACUAAGUUGGUCAAAAAAAAAGUUUAGGACUAAAUUGGCACAAUCACAAUAGAUUUAGGACUUUUUUGGUAAUUCCCCUUUUUUUUUCUAUAAAAGUUUCGCAACUUGGAUUGCCACGUGUGUUAUGUGAGAGAACGGGUCAUUUUCCAAAAUUACCGUGGAUUCCGUAAAUGGAUAGUGCAUGAUCCAAGUAAAUUCUUUGCUCUAGCGGCUAGAUAAUAUUAAAGGAGUAUAAUUCAGGCAAUUUGCAUAUAUUAAAGCCAAAAAAAAAAAAAAAAAAAAACAAAUAGACGACUAUUUUCAAUGCGUCAGCAAAUAGAAAAAUGGAAGAAGCAGGACUUCUGUUGUCGUUGUGGUACCUAAUCAUGCCUCCCCCUCGUCGUCAUAUCUCGUGACCCUCGCGUCAAUUCUCAUGCCCCCACUGCCCGUGAUCGCAAUCAUAACUUUGAUUACGAAAUCGUAGCCCGGACUCCCCCAGCCACUCGUCCCCAUAUGUGCUUCCCGUUAUGCAGAAGCUGGCCCCCUCGUAUACUGUCCGUUCCCGCCGUUUAAGUUUGCCUUUGUUCUCAUACAAAUUAGUCCGAUUGAAUCCACUCCACAAGAAAAGUGCCAUACAUAGGUCCGAGUUUGAACUUUCUAAUGUGAACAUAGACACCGCUGAAAUUCUUACAGCGGAUGGAAACAUAUUGCAUGUCUUGGUACCUCAAUUAUGUGGUGUCCAAUUAACUCGUAAAUGGCCCUUGAAUUAACAAGUACAUCACAAUCCCCAAGACCCAUCUAAGUAAAUUGAUCAAACAAGGAGAACCUUAUAAUUCUUUCAGGGAUGAAUUUUAGUUAUUGUGAUCUUUAUCAAAGAAUUAAUGUGCGUAAUAUGACCAUCGCACAAAACCAUACAUUUUGAGAAUCACCAAAAUUUUCAAUUCCUUUUUUCUCUCAUUGAAAAAAGUCAGGUUCGUUCUAAUUAAUUUAAUAAUACACGCUGAUCAACAGAUAAGAUACUAACAACAUUUAGGUAAGGUCGUUAAUCACAUUGACCCAAGUCAUUUAAUUUAAUAAGGUAGGCUGAUUCGAGAUACAUGAGUGCACUCCAACUACGACCAAGAUAUCAAUGCAUCCGUGAGUCAAAACCAUCGCGACAUGAAUCUAAUUUACACCGUGCCACGUGUAUUCAAGUUUGAAAUUGUCACUUCUCAUUGGGAGUACUUAUCGAAAUCAAAAUUGCAUCAAUUUGUUUUAGAUUUUUAAGAAAGUACGACAUAAUUUUUAUUUAUCCAUGAAAAUAUAAAAUAUUGUUGAAAUUGUAAAAAUAAAAAUCUAAUGUAUCAUCAUUUUCUCAAAUAAAAGUUUAAAAUUGAAUUUAUUUUAAAUAAGGGUUAAAGUAAUUAUAGCGGCUUCAAAUAAGAGCCUCAACAACCUAACUUGCACAAGUAGCUGAAUAUUUCAACUGGUUAAGGGUCUUUUUGUAGAAUACAAAUUUAAUUUUAAAUAUUAUUAAAAAUAAAUUAAAUAAAAAAACAAAAAAAGAAAAGAAAAUCUACCAUUGCUUUCGCCACGCCACUGUUGUCAAGAAGUGCUAGUUAAGGGUCAGCAAGGGUCGCUAGACACUGGUUAGGGUCCAAUGAUGGUGGAUGGUGAGCCCAUGUUGCUUUCCCUCCCCUCCCCUUCCAUUUUAUUUUUAUUUCUUAUCUAAUAAAGAAAAAAUAAAAAGUGAAAAAUGAAAAUUUUUUAAGGAUGAAAAUGUCCUUGUAAGUUAGUGAAUUAGGCCUUUUUUUUUAGAAAUCAGGGCAUAAUCAUUUCAUGUUCUUAUUUGAGGAAAUGGAGAUUUUAUAUGUUAUUUGAAAAAAUAAGUAAACAUUAAGUCUGUAUUCGAAAUUUUUCUUAAGAAUAAUUACGAAGAAAUUACGCAUCAAAAUUAAUACGGUGCGAGAUUGAAAAAGGGGAGUGUGAAAAUAUGUGGAAGCGCCGGUAACAUUAAUGGGGGAAGGGACAACUACAAGGACAAGUUCUGAUGCCGCGACAGCGAUCGUGGGAAGGGCGUCCGAGGAGGGCGAAAGGGGUUAGGGGGGGUGGGGAAAGCGAUACCAAACGAUGGAGGAAGGAGUAGAGGAGGAGGAAUGGGGGUGGGCGGGGAGCACGUGCGGCGCAGGCGGAGGGGGCAUCAUGUCAUCGGCCGGUCAGAGUCGUUCCGGAUUCGAUUCGAUGGGGGCCGUCCGAGUGCGUUGGCCGUAAGCGAGCUUUUUUCCUACGCCUUUCCGCUUUGGUCCUCCUGGAAUUUCCCGACCCCACUUUGGCCUCCCCCGCCCCUCCCCCCUCGCAUUUCCCCUUCUUGCCCAUUCUCCUUUUUUAUUUUUUUUCCUUUUUAAAUAUAAUUCUCCCACAUAAAAGAAAGAAACGCCAGUUGGCCUCUGGAGAAUUAUUUUUAUUUAUCACAAUUAUUCAACUAUCACACCCCCCUUUUUUUAAGGUCAAAAGUCAGACACAGUAGAGGAUGCAACUAGAGAAAAUAGAAUGAGAGAGGGGGGCGCACGCGUGGCUUGAAUGAGAGACAUGAGAAGAGAUAAUGAUACGAACAAUUUCUCAACUUUGACACAAUAUGCAAUUUGAUCAUUGAAUUUUUUAUUCUCUCAAUAUGGUCAAUGAACUUUAGACUAUUGUUUAAAUAUAGUCCAUAAACUACAUGAAAAUAUUUAAUAUGAUCAUUCAAUUAAUUCAAGACCAAUGAUUACAUUAAACAUCUUCAUAUAGUUCAGGAACUAUAUUGAAUAUAUACAAAAAAAUUUAUGAAUUAUGUUGAACAACUUAUAUUAUAGAUUAGACUAAAAUUCAAGAAUCAUAUUGAGCAAGUUAAAAUUUUAGGGAUUGAAUUGCACGUUGAAUUAGAAAUUCAUAUUUAUGCUAUUUUUUCACAAGAGAAUGAUAAAAAGGAGGGGGGGUAUCAUCAGCCGUGCGGCGCACUAUUAGCAUGAAUGAGAGACGAGAAUGAUCAAAAGAGGAGGGGUGGGACCUGUAUUCAUCGAUUUUUUUCUUUUCUUUUUUGGGGGGGGGGGUUAGACCGGUAUUCAUCAAUUGAAAAAGCUGAAGAAGAAAGGGAGAAAGAGCCCAAAAGAUCUGACCGAGAGGGAGGGGCCCUGAGCUGGUCCGACGUGGCUUUCGAGGGCCGAAUCCCACCGCCGCCACCAACCCCCCCGUCUCCUCCUCCCCGCCAACCUCGCAUCACGACACUCUCACCUACGUCGUCGUGACCCACGCACGCACGCCCGCACACCUCCUCGCUCCCAAAAUACAUCACAUGCGCCCACCCCCCCCCUCCGGCAUUAUUGCCAUCCCCGAUUCCUUUCCUGUUUUUUCUCUUUUUAUUUUAUUUUAUUUUAUUUUGGAGUCGUAGAGUGUUGUUGUUGUUGGGACGGAGAGAGACGAGUCUGUACAGCAUAGAUUAGUGCAUAGGGAAGUCCGCAGGCCAGGCCACUUCUGUUAUUUUAAAUAGGGAGUAGGCUUUUCUCCGCCUGCCUGCCUGCCUGGUGCCUACCCCCCCAUAAAGUCAUUUCUCCUUCCAUUCUCGAGUUGAGCUCCAGGCCUCCCCCGCCGCCCCCCUCCACCGUGUUUCAUUUCCCUCGUUCUUGUUCUUUGCUCUUGGUCAAUCUAGGGUUUUCGCAGUCAAGCCUCGGAGGGAAGAGUUCCGCAAAUGGCUCUGUCUUCUCUCCUCCGCCCGUCCCCCGCCGCUGCUCCCGCCGUCUCCCACCUCUCUCCCCUCUCUUCAGAUCCCUCCAAGGUCUCUCUCUCUCUCUCUCUCUCUCUCUCUCUCUCUCUCUCUCCUGCACAAGCACGCGAGACGGAUCAUCGUCAUUGUCAUGCGCUUUGAUUCGAGCUCUGUUUUGUUGAUGCUUUCUAGUUCGUCUUCGUUUGAUUCUCGAGAAACCGGUCUUCCCAGGUCUUGUCACCUUUGAUGAUAUCGGUCUUCUUCUUCUUGUUUUUUUUUUUUUUUUUUUGGUUGAGCGAGUUUUUCAUUGGGCUCCCCGUGGUAUGCUCGAGCUUAGUUUUUGUUCGUCGAGCUGAAUCUUUAGCUUCCUCCCUACUCGUGUUCCCCGUUGGCAGCAGCAGCAGCAACGCCGCAGCUGCUCUCCGAACACGCCGCGCCGCGAAUUGUGAAUUUUGCGAUUCCUGUUCCCUCGUUUCCGCUUCUUCUUCUUCUUCUUUUUGUUUCCUUUAAUUAUUAAUUUUUUUUUUCUUUCACUUUUUGAUGAUCCUGUCUUUUCCGCUGCAUUUGCUAUUGGAUUUAUGGCGGACACCGUCUUCGCGACCCACUCCCGGCUUCCCCUUCUUCUUUUCCUAAAUCUUGGGAGGUGGCUCGUCCCAUUCAGCUCACCAACUUCAACCUCUUUUUUUUUUUUUUUUUGGUUUUUUGCAGGUCUCGUCCAGCAGCGUCAACCUUUCACGCCUUCCCUCCAGCUUCAACGGCACUCCUGUCCCCACCGGAUCCAUUUCCUUCCGGUUUAGUCUAUAAUCUUUCUCUUGCUCCUGUUAAAUUUGCCGCUCCCGGUUUUUGUGGCCUCUAGUAACUGUCGCUGACACAAUCUUUCGCCCCCAAAAAAACAAAAAUUGAUAGGAAAUCCUCUGUCAGGAGCAUUCAGCCUGUUAGAGCUACGGCUGUUGAUGUGCGGCCUAUUGUUCCAAGUAAGAAUCCUUGUAGCAUAUCUCGACUGGUUUUUAAAAAUGGUUUGAUUGGACCGGAGCCUGAGGGGUGAUGUUGUCGUGCAGGAUCAGAUGGCAGCAACAAGACAAAGAUUGGAAUCAAUGGUAUGUUCCGGGGCUGAUAGGAGUUAUGCUAAGUGGUUAUUCUGCUUUGCCUGUAAUCUCAUUCCAUGCGAAAUUGUGUGCUGGUAUAUAUAGAGGGCAUUCUGGAAUUGUGUUUUAACAGAUACCAUAGGGAUUGCAAGAUAGGGGCUGUUUGCAGCUGUUCUGCAUAUAUCAGCUAAAAUAGAAGAAUGUCUAGAACAGUAUGUAGUUGUUGCACGAGGUGUACAGUUUAAAUGAAAGGGGUCUGGUGGAAGUGUUUUUUGAGCGUGGUGGCAUUACAUUCGUGCAGGAUUUGGUCGAAUCGGACGAUUGGUGCUUCGGAUAGCAACCGCUAGGGAUGAUAUUGACGUAGUAUCUGUCAAUGAUCCUUUUAUCGAUGCUAAAUACAUGGUACGUGCAGUUACCUUCUUUUUAAUGCAAAUUACUUAGUCCUUCAAGGAAAUGUCAUGUGGCUUCCCUCCUUUAUGUGAUUGAGUGGUUCUGUUGGUUAUAGCAUUACUGUUGCGUCACUUAUGUGGUAUAUGGAUGUUUUAAUCUCUUUUAUGUCUGUUAUUUGGUAGUGGACUUGGAAUAUCCAUUGCAGUAUUCUAAAAAUUUCUGAUCUGCUGCUAGCUUGUUUCUGCUUUAGCUUAGAAUUGGAAAAUGAUUGACUUGACCAUUUGUUUAAACAAGCCAGAUUAUUGUUUUUCUUCAAUGAAUGUUUCAUAACUUAAAUUAAGCUACUGCUGACUCAUCCACCAUGCUUUGGUGAAUGUUUAAAUCAGCCUUCGACUUAAGUCGCAUGAGAUUUAUCUUUUCCUGUGUCCGCUUUGCUACCAUAUUAAUGUCUACUGCUCAGGGUUACCUCAUUUUGCUUUGCUUUGCUUUUGAAAAAUCAUCCUAAGAUAAAACUUAUAGCUGACUCUUGUGGUAUUUGUGUAUAAUUAGCGAGCCGAAAGAAUUUGUAAGAUGUGACAGCUUUGGAAUUUGUGAUCGUUGGAGGGAUAUCACAAUGCUUUAUAGCAGGUCUGCUCCUUGAGGAGAUACAGGAGAUACUGACAUUUCUUUUAUCGAUCUGUCCAGGCUUACAUGUUCAAGUAUGACUCCACUCAUGGAGUUUUCAAUGGAACGAUCAAUGUUAUAGACGAUUCCACCUUGGAGAUUAAUGGAAAGCAAAUUAAAGUUGAAAGCAAAAGGUGUUUUCUUACUCAUCCGAAAGAAUAUGCUUGUAGAAAGUUCUCUUUUGCAAACAUCAACCUCUAAACUUAAAGCAGGAAGGGGUAAAGUUUGACAUUUCUUUCUUCUCAGAAAUCCAGAAGAGAUUCCUUGGGGUUAUCAUGGGGCUGAGUAUGUUGUUGAAUCCUCUGGAGUUUUCACUACAUUGGACAAGGCUUCCGCACACCUGAAGGUCACUAUAAUCAUUUAAUUUGCUCUGUGCACGCAUGUGUACAUCUAUGUGAUAGGGUGAUGGGUAUAAACACCACGAGUUGAGCCCGCUGAUUAUUACUGCAGGCUGGUGCCAAGAAAGUGGUCAUAUCAGCUCCUUCAGCCGAUGCACCUAUGUUUGUGGUUGGAGUAAAUGAAAAGUCAUACAAGUCAAACAUGGAUGUAGUUUCUAACGCAAGCUGCACGACCAAUUGUCUUGCUCCUGUUGCCAAGGUUGGUUUUCACGCUUCCAUAAGUUAUUCCUGCCUUUCACGUCAACCUGGUGAAACUUGAAUAGUGGGCAGCUGUCUUUGGAAACUUCCUCUCUCUGUCUCUUUCUAACCCUUUGCAGUAUUGUAUCUUCUCUGUAGUGGAUGCGGCUCACAUCUUGGCUCUUGCCGAGUCAGUCACUGAUAAUUGGUUCAUACUAACAUAAUUGUUGUAAUUAACCUUUUUGGCAGGUUGUUCAUGAGGAAUUUGGUAUAAUUGAAGGUUUGAUGACGACUGUACAUGCAACUACAGGUACUCCCAUUCUUUCCCUUCUGCCUAUCUGAUGUUAAGAGGUCUUGCUAAUAAUGAUGAUUUAUCUUUUUCAGCAACCCAAAAGACAGUGGAUGGUCCUUCGAUGAAGGAUUGGCGUGGGGGCCGUGGAGCUGCUCAAAAUAUCAUUCCCAGUUCCACUGGUGCUGCAAAGGUAUAAUGAUAACUGGAAUUUCUUGACGAAGACAUGGACAGAUUCUAGAUUUUAUAAGAUUUGGAUCAUUGUGGGGUCAAUAGUGAUGAUAUUGUUUUUUCCCUUUGGAUAGGCUGUCGGAAAGGUUCUUCCUGAACUCAACGGAAAACUCACUGGGAUGGCUUUCCGUGUCCCAACUCCUAAUGUCUCUGUUGUUGACUUAACUUGUCGGCUUGAGAAGAGUGCUUCUUAUGAAGAUGUGAAGGCAGCUAUAAAGUAUGUUGAAUUCCCCCCCUCCCUCUCCUCCUCCCUUUCUUUUUUCUACUAGUUGAUGAAAAUUGAUGGAAGUCCCUUUGAGUAGUACUAUAAACACGUCUUGGAUUGUUAAAAUAAAGGUAUGCAUCGGAGGGUCCGCUCAAGGGCAUCCUUGGAUAUACAGAGGAGGAUGUUGUCUCGAAUGAUUUUGUCGGUGACUCCAGGUAUGUCCAUUGUGCUUUCCUUCCUCUCCUGCCCGCUCCCUCCAUCCCUUUCUGUCAGUGGGUGGUAAGGCCUUGCGUUGCAUGCACAUGUUCUUGAGGGGGAUUGGAUGUUUUGAUUUCUUUUUUACUGUUUUACAUUAAGCAAUGAUGCUCCAUACAAUCAAUUUAGUGGCUAGCUCUAUUUUUGUUGCUUGCCUUGUUGGUCCCUAGAAAUUGCCAAUUUAAUAAAGAUCUAGUCUCACAGUGGCAUGGAACUUUUAAACUUGAGUGAAGGUCAUUUUGGAUGUUAGUUUUUUUAUAAAGAAAAGAUGGUGGUUUACAACUACUAAAAGUGAAUUUUGUGUGUUGAGACAGGUUAACAGCAUCUAUUUUUCAAAAGAUAGUGGCAAAAGUGAUUGAUUUUGUCCAUGUUUUGUGAGUUUUAUAGCUGAGUGAUGCUUUUACUGCAGAUCAAGUAUAUUUGACGCGAAAGCAGGUAUAGGUCUAAGCAAAUCUUUCAUGAAGCUGGUUUCGUGGUACGACAAUGAAUGGGGAUACAGGUAUACAUCUCUUGAUCUUUUGUUCUGAAUAUUAAGAAGUGGCAAGGCAAUAUGAGUGGAAUUAAUGUUUUAUAAUGUCCAACUAGCAUAUCUAAACUUUUAUGGCAAUUUGACUUUCUUACAGCAACCGAGUCCUAGAUUUGAUAGAGCACAUGGCCCUAGUCGCAGCCCACAAGUGAAUGAUGAAUGGUGCUACAUAGUUACCUGAAUUUGCGGCAUGCUUACUCCAUUUACAAGAGUUAUGAUGCUUGAUAGAGAUUUCUGGUUAUUCAAUACAGCCUGUAUUAUCUUGUGGACGAUUUUACUCGAAUGGUAUCUGUUCUAUAGUCUGGUACCGCUGUCUGGAACCAGGCAGUUCAUGGUGCCUUCAACAUAAUAAGGAAUCAGAAUUUUCCCCCUUUUGCUGGUUUUUUAUUUUUAUUUUUAAUGCUUGCGCUGGCUCUACAUGAUUGUGGUCUUUGAUAUUUUUUCUAUUGAAACAUGGAGAUCAUCCGAUAUGGUCAAUGUGGUCCUGUGCCUGGAUAUAAAUUCAGUGAAAGAAAAACUCCCUUCUUACCAAAGGAAAAAAAAAAAAAACUCGUUUCUGUUUUUGAUAAGCGAAGUAAGUGCCUUGGCCUGAAUGUACAGUGAACGCGAGGCGUUUCGGGAUAUUGCGGUGCUAAUGAGACGUAGCUAUCCGUAAGAGAAUUAUUUCUUUCAGGCUUUAGGGGCUAGCGUGGAGCUAAAGGGUCCGUUUGGUUCGAAUUUGGGCAAAUCUCAUUAAGAAAAUGCAAAUACCUUUGAAUUAAAGGGUUUGUGCAAAUAGCGUUUUGUAAAUUAUAAUUUUAAAGUGCAUUGUGAAAAAAGGAUUUAGUUUAAAUACCGUUUAGUAAAAAUUACAUUUUUUAAAGGAUUUUUGUUAAAUUUUAUAUAUAAAAAAGUUUUAUAUUUUUUUUUAAAAUGUAGCCAUCGAUGGUUAGAUCUAGCCGUCGGACAGCCUUACUUGAGGUCUAGCAACCUCAGGCGGGGGUUGCCUAUUGCCGCCGGACCUCAAGCUUCUGUCACCUAGGUCGCACGAACCUAGGCAACCACUGCUUGAGGUUGCGUGACCCGAUAACGCUUGAGGUCGCGCAAUCGUUGCCUGGGUCUCUAUCGCCUGGGUCGUAUGACGCUUGAGGUUUGGUGACCAGGCGACGCCUAAGGUCGCGUGACCAUCGCUUGGGUCACGCGAUCUUUAGGUAGCGGUGGCCACAACCCUCAGGCGGCGGUCGCCAGGGUCACCUUAGGCGACAGUUGUCGGCGCGGGCCACUCCUUGGCCAGCGGUCGUCAGCCUCUGUUAGUCUCUCCAAAGAAGAUGAAUAGUACUAGGAAGAUGAACAAUACCGGACUUGCAUUCCGAGGAUGUAGCUUUCCAAAGGACCUCAAGAGCUGUACUGGGUUAAAGGCCCUUAGAGCAAUUUAGAGAUGCAAUUGCAUUUUGCCAAAGUUGUCUAAAAAAUCGAACUAAACGCGUUUGCAUUUGGCCAUGAGACUUUGAGUCCUAAACCCAUUCUUAAAGCUGAACCAAAUAGGGCCAAAGUCUGUGAUGUAUUGAAAUAUUGAACAGUAACACGGACUUCCAUUGGAUUACACGAGUGAGCAUAGCGACAUGAAGUUCCUAGUUUGACAAGCUACUACUGGUGCUCGGGAAAUUGUCAGAAACGACUGCUGGUCUACCCUUCCCAAUGUCCCAAGAUUUGGCUUUAUUUCUUGGUUAGUAAAACAUGAUGAAAUCCCUAAUUUUGAGAGGGUUGAGAGUUGGUCUGCUGGGAGUACUAGUUCUCUCUGCUUGUUCUGUAAUCUAUGCAUGGAUUAUGAGCGACAUCAGCAGUGGUAUUGAGAUCAUCAGCAUCAUGCAUCUUCAUCUUUGAAUUGUCUACGUACAAACCGUGAGACGUGAUAGCAUUCCAAGCCAAAUUAUAACUGCGUUGAGUCUGUGCUUGUUUAAGAAGGCCCACUGGGGUUUGAUACGCAUGAAAGAAGCUCCGAUUGGACGAGACAGACAGAGGGCUGCUCUUGUUUCUUAUCACUUGGUUUUUACCCCCUGUAGAAUCUAUCGAUCUCUUUGGUGGACCGUAAGGACCCAAGAAAAGGGAUGAUGGUGAUGAUAAGGGGAAAAGUGCCAAAAAAGUCCUAAACUUUUUAACUUUGUACUGAUUUAGUCCUAAACCUUUUUUUGGUGCCGAUUUAGUCCCAAACAUUUUUACGUUGUGCCAAUUAAGUCCUUUCCGGCCAUUUUGAUCGGAUUUUGUUGACUGGACGCCGGCCGGCUGACGUGUAUAAUUUUUAAUAGUAUUUUAAUUUUUUUGAUUUUUUUUCUUUUGAUUUUGAUUUUUUUUUCUUUUUUUUUUAUUCUUUUUAUUUUUUCUGCUCAUCUUCUUCCUCCAGCCGGUCGCCGGAGCUCGGCGACCGGCCAGAGUCGACCUCGCCGGCCACCUUGCGAGGUCUCGACCUCGCCGGCCACCUCGCCGGAUCUGGCGAGGCUCGAUCCUCCCCCAGAUCCGGCGCGAGGAGGAGCUGGCGGGGCUCACCCUCGCCAGAUCCGGCGAGGGCGAGCCUCGCCGCCCAGGCCUCGAGGGCGGCCUCGUGCCGGGUGGGCGAGGCUCGCCCUCGUCGGAUCUGGCGAGGGUCGAGCCUCGCCCAAGGCCGGCGAGGUUCGACCUCGCCAGAUCCAGCGCGAGGAGGAGCUGGCGGGGUCGCCCUCGCCGGCCGUGGGCGAGCCUUGACCCUCGCCGCCCAGGUCUCGAGGGCGGCCUCGCACCGGGCGGGCGAGGCUCGCCCUCGCCGGAUCUAGCGAGGGUCGAGCCUCGCCCACUGCCGGCGAAGCUCGACCUCGCCAGAUCCGGCGCGAGGAGGAGCUGGCAGGGCUUGCCCUCGCCGCCCAGGCCUCGAGGGCGGCCACUGGCGAGGUGGCCGGCGAGGUCGACCUUGACCUCGCCGGCCGUCGCCUCUGGCUGGUCGCCGAGCUCCGGCGACCGGCUGGAGGAAGAAGAUGAGCAGAAAAAAAAGAAAAGAAUAAAAAUUAAAAGAGCAAAAUAUUAAAAAAAUAAAAAAAUAUUUAAAAAUAUUUAAAAUAUUAUUAAAAAUUAUAUACGUCAGCGCCGAUCAGGCCAUGUUAGCCGGCUGGCGUCCAGUCAGCAAAAUCCGGCCAAAAUUGGCCGGAAAGAACUGAAUUGGCACAACGUAAAAAGGUUUAAGACUAAAUCGACACCAAAAAAAGGUUUAGAACUAAAUCGGCACAAAGCCAAAAGGUUUAGGACUUUUUUGGCACUUCUCCCUGAUGAUAAGUUAUCGUUUCCAAGAGUUGAUAUGAUUCAGUUCGGACAGGGUCAAAUCCUACGUCAUGUUCCCCAAAGUUGUUUGUCAAUUUUCAUGCUAUGAUACAGACGUCAGGCGUAUGCGAUUUAUGCCGUCGAUUUCCAGGGCAAGUGGGUCAGUUGCGGCCCGAAAUGGGCAUUUGCGAACGUAAUAAUGCUUUAGUUUAUAUUGCAGCAGUUGGCAAGUAACUGUCAAGUCGGCAAACGUAGACGAUGAAGUAAGUCUCUACUCACUAGUCAAACUACCUAAAAAGCACUCCCAACGCAAUCGGCGCACGCCGAUGAGGUUGCGGUUGCUAUGUGGGGGGUAAAGUUUCCUCCGAUACUUUUGUAUUGCUAGCCGUGUUGCAAUUGGCAAUGUCGUUUGGGAAGUGAGCGCAGUUGCGAUGGAGACGUGAAGUGAAGAAGCUUCCACCUCUCCUUCCUCUCCCCCAUUUGUUUAAUGUGCAGGCUGACGAGAGAGUAUAAUCCAAACAAUAUGGGAUUAAUGCAGUAGAAUUGAAUAAUCUUCCCUCUUGUGUAAAUCUAAUAGGAAUCAAUAUAAUAGAGUAAAAUAAAUAUCAAGCAAGCAAACACAAGGUGACUUUUUUACGUGAAAAACCCACUCGGUGUGAGAAGAUAAAAAACCAUGGGAUUGAAGUUCACCCAAAAAACUUCACUAUCAAUAGAAUUGGAUGAAUAAAGUUUUUCUCUAGUAACUACUAGAGAUACAUAGCAGCAAAGAUCUCAAAAACAUGAUUCUUGGCAAUACGCAUAAAUUUCACUAGAGAUCAAGCAUGAAUCUGAUAAAAAAUGCAAGUUUUGAUCAACCUACGAAAAACUUGCUGUGGGGAAUUCCAAACGAAAAUCAAACCAUCCAGAUUCGAGAAUAGUGGGCCAUGAACAUGUUGACAAAAUUCCAGCUCAAUCGAACUAUGAAUCGACCUCCGAUGCUACUCUACAAUAAUAGGGCAAUGGCACGAGUGUCCUUCUAACCAAAAGACCCAACCCCAACCACAACCAUUAUCGUGCCGUUAUCAAAAUAUAAACAUUCAUGUAUUUGAUAAAAGAGUCAUCCGGAACAACUAACUCAAAAGUUCAUCUUAGCCAUAUACAACUUACACAAAAAUAUCACAUUAUCAAAAUAUCCAGCCAACAUUCACUCUUGUCCUACUUGUGGCAAGUAAGACAAAUGGAAUGAGGAAUCACAACCCAAGUCUAGUGAGUAGUACAUCAUUUCUUAGCAGGUAGGAUAUUCACUAUGUCUCUUUAUAAACCGAUGUCAUAAUUCAUCAAUCCCAUAUUUAAUAUACAAUACAUGUAGUAUAUCGCAAGUGGAUGAUAUCCUUCCAACAAAACUUUUCCAUUGAUCAAUAUUUAUCAAAUCAAACGCCAAUGGUCAUUCCAUUGACUAAUGUAAUGCUUGGUAUCUAACUAUGGUGACCAUAACAAAGGCAACCAAGUUUCCUCCUUGACUAAGUCUCCACCUACAUUAGCUGGUGGGUUAGCCCAAAAAAAUGUUUUGAUAAUAUUAAGCAUAUUUACUCCUCAAUUUGGUCAUAGUGACAUAAGCAUAAUCCACUAAUAUCAUUCUCCAAUAUCCACAAAUCCGAAUCCACAAUCCAAUCUCAUAAAUCAAGUUCACAACCCAAAUCACAUAACCUUUCAUAGUUUAGUUCAUCAACUAUAAUAAAUUUCCUAAAAAAUUUCUCAAGUUUGUAUGAAAAAUCUUUCACAAAUUCUUUCAUGAACAUUCUUAAACCAUUUCAAAUAACAAUGAGUUAGCAAAUGCCCAAUCCCAAGCUAUAAAUAUUACAUUUAUAUUUUAAAAUCACACCUUGCACAUAACAUAUCUAAUUCUUAUCUCUUUCAAAAUAUGAGUUUACAAACACAAAAAAGAGAUAGCACUCUUAUUCCAAUCAAUUAGUCAAAAACGAUAUCAAUAUUUAACUAAAACUCUACUUUAACCAAUGACUUGAUUAGACUAUGCUUAUUCAUUGAUAAAAUAUCUUCUAUGUGCUUACGAGGAAACUUGUUUAUAGUGAACAUUCGUCUUUGCCCGUUACUCAUAUUCUCCUGUGACACGAAACUUUAGAAAUUAGUUCUGGUCAAGUUCUAAUUUGGACUCAAGCUCCAUGGUGCCAUAAACUAUCAUUUUUAUAUAGAAUCCUAGCUUAACAACUCAUCGAUCGAAGUUCAGAAUUCACUUAACAUCGUUAUUUAUUCCAAAUAGAUGAAUAAUGAGCUUGAAUAACAAUUGGGACGUCCGAACGGAGACGCGAAAUCCUUCUCCCUUUCUCGGAUUGUUCUCCAUUUCUUGUUCACGGGCGAGCUCCCUUCUAUUUUCCUCGUUUCGUUCGCGGGCUUCGAUGACUUGAAGUCUUGAACGCGUCGUAUGUGAAGGCAAACGAAGGUGGGCAGAGUCGGGCCAUCUCCAUUACAUCUGCAGCAGGAGGCCUCGUCGUAGAUGUGGAGCCACGUUCUUGUCUCCUCUUCGUGUUGGCUGGGUCCACCUUCAUGUGGGGCCCAGCUAACAUAAAACAAAAUGACAAAAAAAGGAGCAAAGUCAAAAAGUUGAAAAGAAAGAAAGAAAGAAAAAGGUUCGUGCGUGGUGUGCGCCGAAAGUGUGACGAGACAGAGAGAGGACAGAAGCCUCACCGAAACAGGAAACGGGAUAGGGGAGAGGAAAAAAAGAGGGCUGCGACUUUGUGAUGCUCACCGAAACAGGAAAGGGGAGAGGAAAAACAGAGGGCCGCAACUUUGUGAUCUUAAUUCAAAGGCUAAAUAUUAACGGAAUCAGCUCAAGUCUGAGUAUAUUAUUCGUGAGUUGAUGUUUUUAUUCAUCGAGAAUCAUCUCCGAAUUCUCCUAUUGCGAAAACCAUUUAUGUUUAUCUACUUUUGUGGUGAUGAAAUGAAUUUAUAAUAUCUAUGUAAAGCUUUUAGUGCAUGACUAGAGAUAACAAUUCUGUGCAUCAUACUAUUUUUAAUGAUUAAUGAAAGUUUUCGAGUGAUCUGUGAUUUUUCUCGUAUUGGAUUUUUACGUUAAAAUCUUGAUGGUUAUAUAUAUAUGGCUGGUUGUUGAUGGGGGCUCAAUUAAUUUUGGUUGAUUUAGUUUCGGAGGAGAAAUCGAUCAUGGAUUGGGUUUAGUUUGUAGUGAAUUAUUAUCCCCGGUUCUCCCUGACAUUUCAUAUUGGCUGGUUCAAGCUCAACAUCAUCCUCGAGAGAAGAAAAGUCAAAUUAUCCCCGGUUCACCAAACAAUAUCGCGGAAUAUAUACGUACAUAUAACAUGUAUAUUAACGUCUGCGCUGGGAGGAAGCUUCCGCCUCUCAUCCCUCUCCUCUUGCCCCCCGCUCCUUUGUUUAAUGCGGUGCACGAGAGAACAAAUUCAAAAGCCUCGCUAUCUGCUCUUUUCUUCGCAGGGGAUUCCCGCUCCUCCCUCCUUUUUCGACCGUUUUCUUUGUUUCUCUCUCCGCUGCUCUCCGUUGUGGGUUCAUAAUCUUUGGACAUAAUUGACCUGGCUUUUGCUUGUAAUUAUCAGAUGAAAGAAGAGAGAACAUAUUCUCUUAAAUUUAGUAAGGUGGAUAAGCUUGAAAAGAGAGCCAUGUCGGUCCUUGCAACCCACUAAUUGGAGGCAUGAUUGGACGGAAAAUGCUCUAUGGAGUGAAGUGGCUGAUCACGAUCUUUCAAUACAUGCAACAGAAACCGCGUGCGCUGUUGUUUGUAGAAUUACAGCUGCGAUUUCAAGUUGAAAAGAAGAAUCUGUUUCGUCACUGCUAGCGCCCAACAGUCCUUGCUCAGGCAACGCGUAGACAAAGCUUCCGAGCUCUUAUUGAACGUUCAUUCUAAAUCAUCUCUCUUUUUACAAAGAAUAACACGAUUUUCCCACGUAGACAAAGGAACCGAACAAAGUUGUGGAGAGGGUGUGCUGCUUUCUGGAGAGUGGAUCAGGAUUCCCAACCUUUUUGGGCGACACAAAUGGAGCAGUUCAUCCGUCCAGUAUCCCACAAUCAUCCGCCAUGGACGCCUUCGACCACGACUGCAGUGACUCCUCCGCUCCCUCAUGGCGUCUCAGCCCCACCAAGUUCCGCCUCCCUCCUCGCGACCACCACCACCACCACCCCAGCUCUCGCUUCUCCUGCCGCCACCUUCUCCCUGCUUCGAGUAUGUAUCUCCAUCUACGCCGGUUUUCCGUGCAAGUGAAACUGCCUCCAUCGUAGCAUCAAUCCUAGCUUUUUCUCCACUUCUUUUUCGUUGCUUAUUCGCCAUUGCAUGACUGAUGCCUAAUCCGAGCAUCUCCUGUUACACUUCAUCUGUACGUCACUACACUUGGUACGUUCGGUAACGACGCCCCCUUGGAAUCCUAUGCGAUGCUUGACGGAAAUUAGCGUGCUGUGUCCUGUCUACAUCAUUCUCUGGCAACUUCUCUUGCGAGAGCGCCACCAUGUCUGGGAUCGACCUGCUUUUACUUGGUCCGCGCUUUUGUAUGUAUGUAUGUAUGUAUGUAUGUAUGUAUGUAUGGAUGGAUGGAUGGACUGUGGUGGUGGGAACCGACGGUAACGCAUACAUUCAUUGCUUCACGUAUAUGGAGUGUUGUAUUGCUUCUAUUCGCUCAUUUUCGGUGGGUCGAAUUUGGUUCAUUUCGUAGCCACGCUGAGCAUGACCUCACCUUGGAGGGUUUUUUUUCCCCUGGUCAUUUUCUUCCAGCCGGAGGUGUCGAUCAACACAAACACAGAUGGAAAGUUACUUAAGUCUUAACUUGUUGCUUCUUUAGACCUUCUACACCCAUCGCAGUGCAUCCUUUCAACUUAGCUUUCUGUAAAGACCCACAAAAGUGAGCGGUAUGGGGGAAGUCAUUCUGUAAGCAUCAUAUAAUGAAAUGGAAAUUGAGUAGGUUUAGGAUGUGUUUGUUACCUAGGCAAAUAGUAACUGAUUAUAUUCUUUUGUUCUCCGGAACAAAAAAAGAACAAAAAUCCGUAUGAUAACUUUUUUGUUCUCAAGAAUAAAUUUGGAAUAUAAUCAAGAAGUAGAAAACAAUUGCUUCUUCAUUUUCAAGAGUAAUUCCAAAAUCAAGCCAAAUUUUCCUUUUUCUUUUCUCUUUUCUUUUAUUCUUUUAUUCUUUUCUCUUCUUCUUCCUCAUUGCCCGUCAUUGGCCACGACGAUGGUCGACGGUCGACGGUCGACUGCAUGAGGUCUAGUGAGCUCGUCGAAGCCUCCCCAGGCCAAGGUGAGGUUGAGUCUCAUUGAUGAUUGGGCAAGCUUGCCUAGCCCCUAGCAAAGCUUGACCUUUCCUAGUCAGCAUGAGGUUGGCCUCACCUUGGCAUAGCAAGGGUUGGCCUCGCCACUAGCUGUGGUGAGACUCAGCCUAGCUAGGCCAGGGUGAGGCUGGCUUGGUGUUGGCUGGGUGAGGUCGAGCCUCCUUGAUUCUCGCCUAGCCGAUUGCCGGCCGUUGUUGUGGUCGGCGAUUGACCAUAGUAGAAGAGGGAUGGAAAAAGAAAAAGAAAAAAAAAAGAGAAAAAUAUAAUAAAAUUAUUUAAAAAUUAAUAGAAACUAAUUCACAAAAGAACUUAAGAAUUUACCAAACGCAUUUCUUUUCUGGAGGUUAGAAUUUUUGAAUAGUUACCAAACACUUUUAAAUGUUUAGAAACUUAUCCAGUAAAAUGAUUACUAAACACACUCUGACUGACAUGUAAUGGUUACACUCACUCCGGUCAAAUUCAGCUCAUAGUGUUGGGGAGUCAAGUUACAUCAUAGAAUGUUAUUGUACUUUCCACCUGACGGGCUACUAUUUGAUUUACGUGUGAACCUUCUUUAUUGGGGUCCUCAGUGCUCAGAUUGUAUUAUAUAAAUUCCAUUCAGGGAAAGAGCGCAAGCUAGCAGAAUAUUACAAGAAACAGGAAAGCCUUUUUGAAGGGUACAAUGAGAUAGAGGCCAUGACUGAGUCAGGGCGUUUUCCCGGAAGCCUGACUGAGGUAGAUUCUCUACAGCUCACACCUUCCUACAUUUCAUUAGUAGCAGACCUGAGGAUUGUGCAUUCUUAAUCCUAAAAAAAGGAGAUUCUUUAGUAUAUCGAGAUGUUUCUCCACGUAGUAGCUCUCGAAGCAAGAGAAACAAUCGUGGAGAUCUGUUUACAACUUUUAUGCAAAUUGGAAACUAAACAGGAGUUUAUGACAUUAUAUUUCAAGUUUUCUAGGAAGAAAUCGCUUCUGAUUAGUGAAUUGCAUUUUGUAGGAUGAAAUGAAGCAGCUCGCUAAGAGUGAAAGAUUUGCAAUCCGUAUUUCAAACUUGGCAAAUAUUGUGCUUUUCAUAGCAAAGGUCUACGCUUGUGUUGAGAGCCGAUCACUGGCAGUCAUCGCCUCAACAAUGGAUUCAUUCUUAGAUCUACUAUCAGGUCUUAUUUUGUGGUUCACGGCCAAAUCCAUGAGGAACCCAAAUUAUUACCAUUACCCCAUUGGUAAGAAGCGGAUGCAACCAGUGGUACGUUCCCCUGCCUCCUUAGUAAAAAAAAUCUGUCGAUGAUCCAUGGGUAACCAUUCUACUUGAAUCCGACGUUUCUUUGCUCCCACUAAAUUUCACUAUCUUCAGCUAGUCUCAUGACUAUAACUUGAUUUUGCUCUCCUGCCUUCCUUUCUGUUUGUCAUGUAGCUUGAUUUACGAUGGCAUGCUCGUUAUUCGAUAGCUUCAGCUAGCUAAAUUUUAUGUGAGACUUCAAAAAUACUGUGAUGAUGCAUGGCUUAGUUGAAUUACAUCACCAAAUUAUAGUCAAUAUCCCUUUGCCUCAAUAGUUAACUCACCGAAGAAGGCAGUGUCAGAUAUAGUUUUGUAUAAAGGAGAAACCAGUGAGGAGGAAAAAUAAGACCCUGUCCUUUUUAGAAACUCGGAGCUAAUGACCCCAAUAUUACCAAAACGAAAUUCUAAAAUUUCUCCAUCAGAAUAAUAUGUGUUGAUGUAAUCGAUCUUUGUGAUUAAGCUACGAGUGUAAUGGUAUUGACGGCUUGAGAAUGCAGGGUAUUAUUAUCUUUGCCUCCGUGAUGGCAACUCUUGGCUUACAAAUCCUGUUGGAGUCUGUUCGAGAUCUCAUCUCCCAGGCGAGUGAUCUUUCUGUUGUCUGCUUUGUCGUGUCACUUGCAAACAAAUUCAUACCGUGGCUGGUAUAGAUUUGUUUGCAGAGUAGUUUGAAGGGGAGAACUUUAGGUUUUCUAAUGAGCUAACGUUAAUGGAAAGUCUCCUCUUGGGACCUGGAUAUUCUAAUCUUACUUGUACCGUUUCACCUUACAUUAAGAGGUUAUAAACUUCUUUCUUCUAAUUUUUUUUUUUUCAAUUAGAUACCGUUAGAAAUUUGUGGAAAUAAAAAUGUUGUUGCAUCACAGAUUGACCUAUUGGUUCACUUGCCACCUUAAUAGUAACCAAUUGUUUUAACCAGGCACACUUAAAAUACAGUAAAUAAAAUUUAGACUGUCGUCUUUUUUCUCCAGUUCACUCAUCUUAUCACAUUAUAUUUCAAUCAAAAUCUACAUGCAGUCACAACCAAAAACUGAUCGAGAGAAGGAGAUGUGGAUGAUUGGAAUUAUGGUUUCUGUUACAGCAGUGAAGUUUGCCCUUAUGGUUUAUUGUCGAAGAUUCAAGAAUGAAAUUGUCAGAGCAUAUGCUCAAGAUCAUCUUUUUGAUGUUAUAACUAAUUCUGUCGGUUUGGUGGCGGCUGUCCUAUCUAUCCGCUACUAUUGGUGGAUAGAUCCAGUUGGAGCUAUAAUAGUAAGUUCAUCUUGAGCAGUCCUACUUUUAGUUUUUCAAUUGCGUGUUUCUGACUAUUAUAGAAUUACUAUCCCCCCUCCAUCCUAUCAAUAGGUUUAUGUGGGGCACAACUUUUCUAAGCCAAUUUUUUACAUACUCCGCAGAUAGCAUUAUAUACCAUGACCACGUGGGCAAGAACGGUGAUUGAGAAUGUACGGGCGCUUGUUGGAAGAGCGGCCCCACCUGAAUUUAUAGCAAAGUUGACAUAUCUCAUUUGGAACCACUGUGAAGAGAUCAAGCACAUUGACACGGUGAGAGCUUACUCUAUUGGUUCUCUUUACUUCGCGGAGGUCGACAUAGUAUUGCCUGAAGACAUGCACUUGAAAAAAGCCCACAAUAUCGGGGAAACACUUCAGGAGAAGCUUGAGCGAUUGCCCAAAGUUGAGCGAGCUUUCGUCCAUGUUGAUUUUGAGUUUACUCACAGGCCAGAGCACGAGAAUAAAGUAAGAGGUUGAUGAUCAUAUGUGACCAUUUAGAUUUGGGUCGCAACUCCCUUUUCUUAUUCCGUUUAUAAUACUGCUUCUACUUGCAUUGGAAGGACAAGCCCAUGCAAAAGCAUCUUAUACCGACUGACAUGUACUGAAGAUCGAUGUUUGGUUAAAAGAAUGUUGAGAAUUACUUGUGAAAUAAUGCGCUAUCACUUUCUUCUUUCAUUGUGAUGACUGAACUACCUUCAGAGAAAGAUGCUUGAAUCUUCCCUUUCCCAAGACCAUAGCUUUUUCCUCCAGGGAAGCAUUCUUCCCAGCCCCAGUGCUUCUGUGUAAUAACUCUACAACUUUCUCGAUACAAAGAAUGCCACUCUUAUCCAAGCGUCCUAGGUGGGAAUUGUCAAAAGGGUUGAGCCUUGGGGUGGUACAAACGGUCCUACGGUGAAAUUUUACUAUCAAAUUGCUGAUGCGUCAUUCUCUUCGAUGAAUUAAGUACAAAAUGACAUCAUUUUCGGUGAUGACGUGGCUAUAUAAACACAAAACGACUUCAUUUUGCUUAUGGAUUCAGAUUUUUAAAUAAAUAAUAAUUAAAUAAAUUAAAAGAACUAUUAAAAAAGAAGAAGCAAUAGCAGCGUUUGACAAGGGUUGUGUAGACCCUUGCCAUUGCUACCCCACCAUUGCUGGCAAGGGCCAACAAUGGUGUGGGGGGGGGGGGGUCAGUCGGGAUUGUCGAGCCUUAGGCAAGGGCUAGGGGCCGACGGCCCUCGCCGAAUUUGGAGGAGGGUUGCGACCCUGCCUAGGGCUCAAUGACCCUGGUUGACUCUUCCCCAUCGUAGUUGGCAAUGGUGGGGCAACGAUGGCAAGGGCUGUACAGGCCCUCGUUGAACAUUGCACAUGUUUUUAUUAUUUUUUAUUAUUUUUUAAUAAUAAAUUUUGGUUAUUUUAAUUUAUUUUAAUAAAUAUAUACAUUAAAAUUUGAUUUUUGAGACAAAAUGACGUUGUUUUGAUCUUUGUUGCUGAUUCAACUUUCUAAUGUGUCAUGUAAAUCACUCAUAUUAUUGAAAAUGCGACAUCGGAUUUCCGGCCACUAUCACUGGAUUUAACACUUAAAUAUCAUUUUUUUAAAGUGAUACUUAAGUGUACAUUUUGGAAAUUUUGGUACUUAAGUGUCCAUUUGUGCCAAAUUUUGGUAUUUGCGCUGUACUUUAGCGUGUGUUUGGUGGCCUUUCCUCCUACAUGAACAUGAGGAAACCAUAUUACACAAUUUGAGGAUUGAACCGCAUGAGCUUCAUAAGGAAUAUGCACGGCACAAGUUUUUUUCUUGGGCUACCAUACUAAGCUAAUCACAAACGGUGUCGUCAAAUGAGCUUUCUACACCUCCUAAUUAAUCCGCUUGCUUUCUCUGAAGAAUCAGUCUGGCACAGUUUUUCUUUAAGUAGAUAGCUAGGAGAGUAAGGGUGACGUUUGAUAUGAGGUUUAGAAUCUAUAGAUGUGACCAAAUUGCCAAUGCUGCACUUCAUUAUGUGUGCGCAUGGAGGUCAUAUGCUUUGUUACAUACAUAUGUAGACACAUAUACAAAUCUAUGAAUAAUACAAAUGUGCAAAUAUGGGGCAAGUGGCUCUAGGGUAGAUGCUAGAAAUAUCAAGACCCCAUGAUAAAACUUGUUCAUAACUGAAGAUGGGACAUUAAGCAUCUAACAAAUCAACUACAUGAUGCUCCAAAGUUCACUUAACUUCAAAUUUAUAACUUAAUCAGUUCAAUGAGACGGAUAAUGAGUCUGAAUACUAUCGGAGCAUCCCAAACGAUUACACGCGAAAUCUUUCUCCCUUUCUUCGUUUUCUCCUUGUUCUGUGCUGGUUUCAAUGACUUCUUCUUCUUCUUGUUGUUUUUUUUUUUUAAUUAUUAUUUUUUUUUUGGGUCAGAUGGCUUCCAUGACUUCAACGCGUAUCAUAUGACAUGUGAAGGAAAAUGAAGGCGGGCUGAGUUGGGCCAUCACUAUGACAUCUGCAGAUCGAGACCUCUUAGAAGAUGUGGAGCCACGUGCUAGGUCCUUCGUAUCGGCAGAUUUAAACUCAACAUCCUUAGAGAAGAAAAGACAAACUAUCAAAUUAAUUUUUGUUUCACAAACGAGAGUACCUUUCAGUUGCCAAAACAACAAGAAAGAGAAGGAGGAGGAGAAGAAGAGAAGCCACCUCAUAACUACAAUCUUCCAUGGUUAAAAAGAGAGCCGUAUCUAUUAUUUACUUGCCUAGAAAGAAAAGAAGAAGAAGAAGAAGAAGAAAAGCCACCUCAUAACUACAAUCUUCCAUGGUUAAAAAGAGUGCCAUAUCUAUUAUUUACUUGCUUUUUAAGUAAAGUCCACGCCCCCUCACAAAUCUUCUAGUACAAGGAACCCAGUCCCGUGAAACGCGCCGGCGUUGCUGCUUUUCCAUCUCGAAUAUAUUCAGUGCACCUUGCGUCAAUAUAAGUUCGUUUGCGCAAUUGAGAAUUGACACGUCACAGCCACCGUCUCUCCGGCCACCGUAGAAUCCACCGUCUCCAUCUUCGACACCCACCUCCCCCACCACCGUGGCGUCAAUAUGUUAUUGGCUCAGAGUGGGAAAAAGAAUGCACGCCGCGUCAAUGCUCGCGUUUUCUCGCUGCCGGCCAUUCCACCCUCCUCGCCCUGUUAACGUCUCGCGCAACUUCGGGGCACGGGUUAAAGAGAUGGAGCUUCGAGGAAGCUUCCGCCUCUCCUUCCUCGCCGCCCCCUCCCUCCUUCCUCCUCAUCCGCUUUGUUUAAUGUGUACCAGAAGUCGGAACAAAGUCAAAAGCUUGCUCCCCUCUGCUUUUCGCGGGGAUAUAUACAAUUGCACGCACGCAUCCAAACCAAAGCGGUGGUGGAGAGGUGUGGUGGCUUUCUGAAAAAGUGUAUCAGGAAUCGCGGCAUAUGGAGCACACAAGGCUUCCUCUCACCGACGAUCCUCCUCCUUCCUCCAUGGACGUCUUCGGUGACGACGACGACAACGACUCCUCCUCCGCUCCCUCAUGGCGUCUCCGCCUCACCGAGUUCCGCCUCCCUCCCCGCGACCCCCACGAGCCCCACUCUCGCUUCUCCUGCCGCCGCCUAUUCUCUGCUCCGAGUAUGUAUCUAUUUCCCUCUACGGCGCUUUUGACAUUUUCGCUGAUUGAUGGAAAUUGACGAGCUGCGUCCUGUAUAUAUCAUUCUCUGUCAACUUCUCUUGCGAAAGCGCCACCAUGUCUGUGACCGGCCUGCUUCUACUUGGUCCGUGAUUUUGUGUGUAUGUAGGGUUGACUUUUUGGGCUUGGUCCGCCUUGGUAGCUUACCACUGUGGUGAUUGGAACCGAAAAUAACACGUACUUUCAUCGCUUCACGUGUUUGGCCUGUUGUCUUGCUUCUAUUCGCUUAUUUUCGGUGGGGUGGAAUCGGUUCAUUUCUUAGCUACGCUGAGUACGAAGUCGCUUUGGAGCUUCUCUCUCUUCUUCUUUUUUUCCCCUGGUUAUAUUCUUCCAGCCAGAGGUGUCACUGUCAAUCCCCACAAACACAGAUCGGAAGUCAGCGAAGUCUGACUUGUUGCUUCUUUAGACCGUCCGCAUCCAUCCCGGCGCAUCCUCUCAACUUAGCUUUCUGCAAAACCCCACAAAAUUGUUCGAUACAGGGGAAGUCAUCCUGUAAGCGUCAUGUAAGCGAAAUGGAAAUUGGGUAUGGAGCUUUAAAAUGUUUGAGUGACAUGUGAUGGUUACUCUCACCCGUGGUCAAAAUCAGGUCAUACUGUUGGAGAGUCAAGUCAUAUCAUAGAAUGUUAUUGUACUUUCCACCUCACGGGCAGCUGUUUUGAUUUAAGUGCGAACCUUCUUUCUUUGGGUUGUCAGUGCUUAGAUUGUAUUCUAUAAUUUCAAUUCAGGGAAACAGCGCAAGCUAGCAGAAUAUUACAAGAAACAGGAAAGCCUCUUUGAAGGGUACAAUGAGAUGGAAUCCAUGACUGAGUCAGAGGGUUUUCCUGGAAGCCUCACUGAGGUAGAUUCUCUAUAGGUCACAUCUUCUUACAUUUCAGUAGUUGCAGACCUUAGUAUUGUGAAUUCUUACUCCUAGAAAAAGGAGAUUCUUUAGUAUAUCGAAAUGCUUCUCCACUUGGUAGCUCUCAAAGCAAGAGAAACAGUCGUGGAGAUCUUUCACAACUUCUGUUUAAAUUGGAGACUAAACAUGAGUUUAUGAUAUUAUAUUUCAAGUUUUCUAAGAAGAAAUUGUUUCUAAUGAAUGAACUGCAUUUUGUCAGGAUGAAAUGAAGCAGCUCGUAAAGAGUGAAAGAUUUGCAAUCCAUAUUUCGAACUUAGCAAAUAUUGUGCUUUUCAUAGCAAAGGUCUACGCUUCUGUUGAGAGCAGAUCACUGGCGGUUAUCGCAUCAACCUUGGAUUCUUUCUUAGAUCUACUAUCGGGUUUUAUUUUGUGGUUCACGGCAAAUUCAAUGAGGAACCCAAACCAUUAUCGUUACCCCAUUGGUAAGAGGCGGAUGCAACCAGUGGUAUGUUCCCCUGCUUCCUUGGAUAUAAAAUUUGUUGUUGAUUCAUGGGUAAACAUUCUAAUUGAAUCUGACUUUUCUUUGCUCCUACUAAAUUUCACUAGCCUAGCCUAGUUUUAUGACUAUAACUUGAUUCUUCUGUCCUGCCUUCUUUUCUGUUUGUUACGUAGCUUGAUUUACAAUGGCAUCCUCAUUAUUUGAUAGCUUCAGCUAGCUAAAUUUAUGUGAGACUUCAAAAAUAAAAGACGAGCCACUUACUGUGAUAAUGCAUGGCUCUGUUGAAGUACAUCUCCAAAUUAUAGUCAAUUUCCCUUUGCCUCAACAGUUAGCUCACUGAAGAAGGCGGCGUCAGAUAUAGCUUUGUAUAAAGGAGAAACCAGUCGAAAGGAAAAAUAAGACCAUGUCUUUUUUAGAUACUAGGAGCUAAUGACCCCAGUAUUACCACUACAAAUUCUAAAAUAUCUAGAUCAGAAUAAUGUAUUGAUGUAAUCGAUCUUUGUGAUUAAGCUACAAGUCUAAUGGUAUUGACGGCUUGAAAAUGCAGGGUAUUAUUGUAUUUGCUUCAGUAAUGGCAACUCUUGGCUUGCAAAUACUGUUGGAGUCUUUUCGAGAUCUUCUCUCCAAGGCAAGUGAUCUUUCUGUUGCUUGCUUUGUCGUGUCACUUGCAAACAUAUUCAUACAGAGGCUGGCAUAGUCUUGUUUACAGAGCAGUUUGAAUGGGAGGACUAGGUUUUCUAUUGAGUUAACAAUAAUGGAAAGAAGGCUUUGAGUCUCCUCUUCGGACUUGGAUAUCCUAGUCUUACUUUACUAUUAGAACUUACAUUAAGAGGAUAUGAACUUUUUUCUUUUGAUAACCACCGGCCGUGGUGGCUCUGUUGUGUAGGCUUCUGCCUUUGAAGGGAAAGGCUAGGUGUUCGAAGCCCCUGCAACGCAAGUUGCAGGAAGGCUGGCAGACCAUUAGGUGUAUUACGUGUGGCGCCCUAGUGGUGGGUCCUGGGCUAGCGUCACCUGGGGGUUUACGUGGCGACUGUCGGCCAAAGCGGUUCUUCCAAAAAAAAAAAAAAAAAACUUUUUUCUUCUGAUUGAUGUUGCUGCAUCACAGAAUGACCUAUUGGUUCACUCGGUUUGGCUGCCACCUUGCCAGUAACCAUUGUUUUAAGCUGGCGAACUUAAGAUGCAGUUACUAAAGCUUAGACUUCAUCCCAUCCGUCCAGUUCACUUAUCUUAUGCCAUUAUUUUUCAAUCAAAUCUACAUGCAGUCACACUCAAAGACUGAUCGUGGGAAGGAGAAGUGGAUAAUUGGGAUUAUGGUUUCUGUUACAGCGGUGAAGUUUGCCUUGAUGGUCUAUUGUCGAAGAUUCAAGAAUGAAAUUGUCAGAGCCUAUGCUCAAGAUCAUUUUUUUGAUGUUAUAACUAAUUCUGUCGGUCUGGUGGCGGUUGUCCUAUCUAUCCGCUACUAUUGGUGGAUAGAUCCAGUUGGAGCUAUAAUAGUAAGUUCAUCUCGAGCAAUCCUACUUUUAGUUUUUCAAUUGUGUGUUUCUGACUAUUAUAGAAUUACUAUCCCUCUCCAUCCUAUCAAUGGGUUUAUGUUGGGCACAACUUUUCUAAGCCAAAAUAUUACAUACUCUGCAGAUAGCAUUAUAUACCAUAACCACGUGGGCAAGAACGGUGAUUGAGAAUGUACGGUCGCUUAUUGGAAGAACGGCCCCCCCUGAAUUUAUAGCAAAGUUAACAUAUCUCAUUUGGAACCACCAUGAAGAGAUCAAGCACAUUGACACGGUGAGAGCUUACACUUUUGGUUCACAUUACUUCGUGGAGGUGGACAUAGUGUUGCCUCAAGACAUGCUCUUGAACCAAGCCCACAAUAUCGGGGAAAAACUUCAGGAGAAGCUGGAGCAAUUGCCUGAAGUUGAGCGAGCUUUCGUCCAUAUUGAUUUUGAGUUUAGUCACAGGCCUGAGCACAAGAAUAAAGUAUGAGCUAGAUGAUCAUAGCUGACCAUUUAGAGGUAGACGACCAUAUCUGAGCGUUGGGAGGAGAAGCCCAUUCAAAAGCAUUUUAUACCGACUGACAUGUGCUGUAAGAUUAAUUUUUGGCUAAAAUAAUGUUAUUAUUAGUAGAGCUACUUUGGAAAAAAUGCGCCCCCUUUGAAUGGAAUUGUAAUAAUGAGGAGAAGAUCCUUUUCCCAGUGGACGAUGCCAUUUUUAAGUGAAAUGAAACCGCUAUGUUUGGUGGCCUCUCCUUCUACAUGAACAUAAAGAAAGCAUAUAAGGCAUAUCCGAGGAUCAAACUGCAUGAGCUUCGUAAGUAAAAUGCAGGGCUCGAGUUUUUUCUUUUGCUACCACAUUAAUGCUAAUUACAAAUGUGUUGUCAAAGGAACUUCCUGCUUCUCUGAAGAAUCAAUCUGGCAUGGUUUUUCAUUAGGUGAGCAGGAUCUACGGACGUGAUUAAGUUGCCAAUGCCCUACUUCAUAUUUGUCCGUCAUAUGCUUUGUUAUAUGAAUACGUAGAUGUAUACAGAUCUAUUAACAAUAUAAAUGCUGUCUCUAGGAAAGAUGCUAGAAAUAUCAUAAGUCUGUGACAAAACUUGUUCAUAAUUGAAGAUGGGAUAUUCAGAGAGUAACAGAUCAACUACUUCGUUGAUGAGUCUCACUCAUUUCAAUACCCAACAUUCAUGUGUCACAGGUCGGUUGAACACGAUUGAUCAAACAGAUCACCGCGCGGCCUUAGGAUUUGUGAUCCCAAGUCAGCCUACUCACUCACACGCACCACACAAGGGUUGGCUGCACAAGGGGUGAAUGUAUUUCACUAUGAAUGAGCUGAGCUCAAAUGAGGGGGAGGGACCCCUUUUAUACAAGUUCGGGUCAAUUCUCGGCCGUGGAUCGUCCCUCCGAUCCAACGGCUGUGUUUGAACAAUGGCCAUCAUUACAAAUCAACUCAGCAAGCCGCUCAAGGGCUGCAAGCCUUGGGAAACAGCCAUAGGCCAGGCGCAAGUCAGAAGCAAGAUCAGGGGCAGCAUGGACGUGUCAGGGCCAGCAUGGGCGAGCAUGGCUGUUUGACACGGAGCAGGUGAACCACUCCUGGCUUGUGUAAGGGCUGGCCGAGGAUUGAUCAGGAGCUGCUUGCUGGUUGUGCACGGAUCAUUCCCUACAUUGUGCACGGGCGAAUCAGGCACGGAUCGCAGAUCGUGCAAGGGCCGAUUGGUGGAUCGGUCAGGGAUCAAUCAAGGGUCGAUCGGGGACUGAUCAGUGAUCGAUCAGGGAUCGAUCAUGGACUGAUGCGGGAUCGGUUAGGGACUAGUUGGGACAGGGAUCGAUCAGGGCGUUCCCAGCAAUGCCCUGGUGCGUGACAUGGCCGCGCACGGAUGGUCUUGGGCAUGCACCGUCCGUGCUCGGCCGUGUCACAUGCAUCAACUUCUACUUUUCUGGCCAUCAAAUUAGCUUGGCAAAAUAAUAUGACCAAAUCCCUCUCAUUCACCACACCCAAAUGCAGAGCCGAACCUCGUUUCUGAAACUCUGAAGGUCAUUCGUUUCUUUUUCUUCAUUGAUGCUCUGCACUACCAAAAAACAAACUGCAGGAGAUGUAUUUCGCAGGUUUCCUCCCUUUCGUUGAGACGUAUGCCAGGAACAUUGUGGUUUGCUAUUCCAUUAUUAACUGCUAUAGGUCACGACUCUCCUGAAGGUCAACUACUAAGAGAAAAGUGGUGGAUUACUUAGCUCGGACGCUUCGAAGCCCAAUCACAACUUUGAUCCUCAAUUCAAUUGUGCAAUUCAAAUCAUUUUGGAGCUGCCACAACCUAUUAUGGAUCAAAUAGGAAUCCAAGUAAAGCACGUGAGUCUGUUUUAUUUUCGUGAACUAGAGAAUCGUGAGUUUAGGAACUUGACAUUAGAUUAAUCUAACAUCAUUUCAAUACAAUUUUUUUCUCUUUUUAUGAAUGCGUUUGUCAUUCAAUCUUCAUCAUUUUCAUCAUCCUAAAUUGCUAACAUGUGAAAAUAAUCAUAAGAUAAACACCCAAUAAUCAAAGUAGUAAAUAAAUUAACCGCCCCAGUGACACAUCAACCAUGCCCCUUCCCUUUCUCCGAUCAUCAAGCCCUCCCGAUCACUUUCUUUGUCUUUCAUCCCCCUGAACAGCCCGUUCUUUUGAAUUUAAAAAAGAAAACGGGUGAACAUGUUUCCCCUUUGAAGUGGCGAAGGCCUAAUGCCUGAAGUAAGCAAAAAGAUAGGUGAAGGUUACGAAGUAAGUCGGCUGGUUAAGGAAAGCUCAGAUUAUGAAAUCGCUUAGCUGUUAAAUUAAUUAAAUUAAUGAAGUUCCCAUUUCAGGUUUCGGUGACUCUUCCUUCUCUUCUCUUUGGAGUGUGUUCAAGCUUAUGAAUUUGAGCCGAGGCCAAAUAAACGCACUUAGAAUCAUUGGUGAGAUAGAAUUAACUUACCACAAUAGGUAUUUGAUUACAAAUAUAAUAAAGAAGAUCUUCAAGCCUACCUCGAAAGAGUCAAUUGCCCAUUCCCCAUAGUUUUGGAUUCCGUUGUCCCUUUGCGCUUUGAUUAGGCCCACCUGCUGCUUCAUGCAAUAGCACGCUUCAAAGCAAAUGAGCUUCACCAGCUAUACAUGCAAUAGCACGCUCCGAAGCAAACGAGCUUCACCAGCUGUAGCCUUAUGAACUAGUCAAGUAGCUUCUUUCCGGCAAAGCUUACCAAUCCUACACUCCUUUCUCCUAUUCUCUGUCAAGUGGAGCCUUUCAGACAUCGACAAACCAAAAAGAUUCUGUCUCUCAUAAGGAGUCCUAAACAAAUCUACCGUUUUGGACGUACUCAAGGGCUUGGCUUGCCCAAAGGAGCCGCUUCUUACACUUUUCCAAUAGCUUAGUACUCAACAAGGGAAGAGGGAUAGCACUGAGCAACUGGCAAAGUGAAUUAGUCGUUUGAUUUCAAGUUCCACAGUAGGAUAAGGAAAAAUUAAGGAACUUGAAAUGCAUCGAGCAACCCUAAGGAAAGCCAAAUCAUUGAUCCCCAAGAUGGGAGCCUUGUAAACUAUCAGUCAGAACAUAACGAUGCAAUGAUAUAAUCUGGCCUACAUGUGAUGUAUACAACUUUUAUGAUUAUGUAUGGAACCUAAUCUAAUCUUUUUGGUUUUUUCUUCCUUUAAUUACCAUGACAAAUUCAAAAUUAUCUCUUAAUAUACCACAUGGCCGAAACUCUACAUGCAUGCAUAACUUGAAUUACCAGAUGAAAUGCAUGAUGAAUAACAUGAAUUAAUCCUAUCAUGCAACAAUUAACUAGACAUAACCUAAACGAGACAUUAAACUAAUUUCUUUUGUGGUUCUUUUUCUUUGAUUAAUGAAUGCAAAAUUAAUCCCUUGAAAGAGUACGUGGACAAGACUCUGCAUGUUAAGCCAACAUUCAUGAAAUUAAACUAAUUCACAGGAAAAAUAUGAUGAGAAUCGCAAAAGUUGCUGAGGCGACUGAUACAAACCUGUGGUGAUUUUGGUAGAAGUUGUUGAGCUGGUAGUAUCCAUAAAUAGGACGCUUCAUAUGCUUGGGCACCUGAUGAAAAAACAAAGUGGAGGAGAGAUCCCCUGUUAUAAUUAUGGUUAAUGGAUCAUAAUAGCUAACAAAUUAAGAUACGUCUUUUCUAUUCACGUAUCUAUUGAAUUUAUGAAUUUCCUAAAUUCAUCUAUCUUUUAAUUCAUAUAUUUAUUGAGUUUACGAAUAUCUUGAAUUCACGUGUCUCUGGAUUCAUGAAUUUUUUGGAUUCACGUAUCUCUUGAUUCAUGAAUUUCUUGGAUACAUGCAUCUAUUUAAUUCAUGUAUCUCUUCUGUAUAUGACUCUAUAAAUAGAUAAGAGCAUAGAACUUCAUGAGACGGUUUUCGAUAGUACAAUUCGAGACAAUGAUUCCAAAAGAGAUUUGAAAUACUACUAUACUCUUCUGAUUUUUUUGGAUGUACUGGUUCAAUUAAACAGUUCGACUGAGUCCUGUUUGCAUAGUGUUAAUCCAAACAGAUUUGAGGUGUUGUAUUUUGGGAGACAUAGUUCAUGAAUCUGCGGAAUACCAUUGGUAGGAACUAAUCGCCUUAAGGAGAUUCGGAUAUCCGUACCCCACCUCCAAUUUUAUGUUAUUUUUCCAGUAAUAUCUUAUUUUAUUCUUCUUCAAGAUUUGUAAGUUUACAUAAAAAUAAAGAUAUUAUAAAGCUGUUACCGUCUUCUUUACAUUGAUGUUCUGAUUAACAGUUUGCUUUCUCUAGAUUAUAUUCCAACACCCCCUGAGUUUCACAUAAUCGGUGUGAUCUUCUUUCAACUAAUAGUGGACAGUUGGAGGGUUAUUCAAGUUUUAAGUGCAACUAAUGCAUUAUUAAGUCCAGAAAAAACUUACUCUUGACAUCCUGUUGCAGGUUUUGUCCCCAGGUAUCUGUAUGUUCUGGACUCUAUCGGUUCUAUUGGAUGCUGGUAAGCACUCAAUGUCGUACUGAUCAAUCAUCUCGACAGCCUAAAAAAUAAGGAUAUAUAUAUAUAAACUACUGCACAUUAUCAUAAUGAUGAAAGCAACCAGCCUCGGGAUUAAGCUUACAUCACGGGAAGCAAACAAAGAGGCAAGUCCAAUUGGAAGGAAAACAAUGCUAACCAGCAUGAAUGCUGAAAUCACCUGCACAAAAAAUGGGAGACUUCAGUAUUUUUAUCAGGAAUUGGCAAAUGGUUACGAGAUGUACAUAUUUUAGACUUGGUUAUCUUUGAGGGUGCGUUCUUCGAUGGAAGGACAACUAUGUCGUCAUUUUGUUCUUGUUAAAGUCAGGGUGUGACAAUACCUUGUCGAUUUGGGGGUAAAAUGUACAGCACAAAAUGGUUGGUCAUUCACUCUUUCAAAUGGGGUAAACAUUUCUUCUUUUUCUCUCCUUCAGCAAAUGUUCAUUUAGAAUCUUUCAGAACAAAUUACUGUAAUAUAGAAACAUUCGACCGCGAAUAUACAUUCCCAGGUCUGUUUUAGUUGUAGGAUUGCCUCAUGGAUUCUCGAAUUGAAGGAAUUGAUCUGGUUUUAUCCUACAUAAGCAAAUUUUGCUACCCAAAAUAUUUUCUUGACGGAGGCGAAAUAACCCGAAAAUGAAAAGAGAAAACCCCUAACCAACUUGCAGUUAAAGGGGGCCAUCACUAUGGGGUGGUCACCUUCACAAUGACUAUUGCUACAACUUAGAAAGGACCGACACUCUCUGAAAGUUUUCGAGUUGUGUCGGACACUCCGACAUAUGUUCGAUACUUUCGGACAUUCUCUAACACGUAGUCAAUACGUGUUGGAAAAUCCAACACCUGAUCAAUUGUCUUGAUACUCUCCGGCACUCGAGUCAAAAAUACGAAAUGUGAGUUUUUGACACGUGAUUUCAAUACAUGAUAUCAAUUUUUAAAAAUUUCAAUAAAUGAUAGGUUAAAAUGUAUAUAUGUGAAAAAAUAAUAAUAAUAAUAAAUAAAGGAAGAAGAAAAGCCUAAUCUUCUCUUCUUUUCUGACUCUCACUUUUUUUGAUACAUAAUUCACCCUCCAAUGUUUUUUUUUUCCUUUUCUCUACUGACACGUCUGACAUGUGAGUCAAGAAUGUGAAUUGUUUGUUUUUUUCUUUCAAUUUUUAUGGAUAUUGGAAUGGAGUAGAAUUUGUCAAAUUAAAACAAUAAAUGAUACUAAUAAAUUAUGGAUUAAUGUUUUUAGUAUAAACUUAUUCUAAACUUUUUACUAUUAUUAUUUAUUUAUUUGUGAAUUUGAAUCAAAUUAACGUAAAAAUGAUAACUUAUUAUGUAUAUAUAAUACAUUUAAUAUAUAACGUGUUCUAACGUGUCAGAACUCUUUGUUUUUUGAGAAAUGACGUGUUAAUGUGUCUGUUCUGUUGUGUCGCGUGUCGCAUAUCGGUAUCAAUACUAGUUAGGCUACAACUACGGCAAAGGGUGACCAGAGAUGUUCACGACCCCAAUGGCAAAUGAAGAUAGAGAAUCCCUUUACUUAUGUUUUUGUUGAUUUUGUUAUCUUAUCCGGUCGGGUAAAAUUAUCUUCUCCCUAUAGUCCGAACAACUCAUCUGAGUUCUCAUUCAAAUCCAGAUUAUGCCGAUCUAUCCAAUCCGGCUCCUCGAACGUGCCCGCCCUUAUUGUUUAAUGAGCAAGGAUUUCAUUUGCCUAAGUAAACAACGGGGAGGAAACUCCUAGAGUCCUUUACCAAGGGCAGUCCAUAGCUGAAAUCUAUAUGAUGAAGAACAUCAUCUCAUCAGCAGUGGUAUUAAGAUCACCAACGUAGUGCAUCUUCAUCUUUCAAUGGUUUCCAUGCAAAGUAUAAUAAGGGUGCAUUUGGUAAUUGUUCUACUCUCUAAAAUAAUUUCUACUUAGAUUUUUUUUUUUUUUUCUGAUUCUAUUCCUUAAACGAAUUUUUAAGCAUUUGAAGGCAUUUGGUACGAUCCUUAAAUUCUUUUGUGACUUAAAAUUUCUUUUAAUUUUUAAAUAAUUUUAUUAAAUUUUUCUAUUUUUCUUCUUCUUCUUCCUUUAGCCAGUCACCAGCUAAGACCAAGGCCUAUGACUGGCUAAAGGAGGAAGAAUAAAAGGAAAAAAAGAAAAGAAAAUAGAUAAAAAGAAACAACUUUGAUUUUAGAAUUAUUCUUGAGAACAAAAAGUGACUUUUUCCCACUUUUUAGUUCUGUUUCAAAUCUAUUAUUGGAAAUAAAAAAAAUACCAAAAUAGAUUAUUUUUUGAAGAAUAAAAGAAUAAAAUUAAAUAUUAUUUAACAUGUUAUCAAAUAAAUCCUAUGUAAAAGUAGUCCACAUCAAAUUGGGGUCUCAUUUAUCAAGAAGUUGUAGGUUUUCAUUGAGUCGAGUCCGUGCUCGUCUAAAGAAGGCCCCCUGAUGAAGGAACCUCCCCCUUGGACAAGACCCUCAAAUGAUUCGCGUGCUUCUUAUCUUGUUACUUUUACCACUUGGUUUCGACACGGGACAUAAUAGAUUAGGGCGGCCCAUAAGGAGAAGGGAUGACGAUGUCGUAAAGGUGACUUCUUAUAUUUUAUUGCCUCUCACCGCCAGGUGGUUGAUUGAGAAAUGUGCCAUGAUUUGCUUUCAGAUCCUAAGCCUUUUGUGCGAUUCGAGUUGUCGUUUUCCCGGGGCAAGUGGAUUGGUUGGGAUUCCGAAAUGGGACUAUCGUACACGGAAUAAUGCUUAGUUUAUUUGAGCUAUAAUUAGGGUAAGUUAAGUGACGAAGUCGGGGAGCGUGGAAGAUAAGGUUAGGUGUCUUACACUCAGAUGUCACGCUCCUAAAAGCACUCACGACUCCUCUUAUUCGUUCUUUUGCCGUCACCGGAUAGAGAAAGGAGACCAUUUCUUCACGAACGCCUCGUGUGAUAUUGAGGCAAUGCCAUGGCUGUUGUAGUUAUUAAUGAGAGAUUUUUAUGGGGUCAUAACCAAUUGUUCUAAAAAUAUAAAUUGUUAAAUGGAGGUAUAGUUUAAUAUUUAUGAGAUAACUAUCGAUUUUAGAAGUUUAAGCUAUUAGAUCACUCUAACAGCUCAAAUGUCGUUUCAUUCUGAACUUUUUGCUUGGAACGCCAUUUGGGGGAAGGUGGAGUGCUUUUUGCGAUGGAGAAGCGAGAGGAAGCUUUGUCCUCUCCUUUUUCGCUGCCCACCCCAAUUUGUUUAAGGAACAAAUUCAAAAAAGCUUGGCUGUUUUGCUUUCGUGGGGUUUUGCCCCGUUUGGCAACACAGUCCCUGCUCUCUCCCUCUCUCCUUUUGGACUUUGCUCAUAUCAUCAUCAGCAGAAGAAAGUACUAUUACUCUUCUGAAGUUGCAUAAGUUGGGUGAAAUCUCGAGGUCGUGUGAGAACAAAAGCGUGCACAACGUAUCGAUGCUGCGACGUGAGAUGAAAGCGUAACUACUAUCUAAACCGGUAUUUACGGAACAGCUCGGUCGACUCAGUAAUUACAUUUGGGAGAUGUGCUCCUGGGAAGGAGAAGGACAUCUAAGAUGUAAUAUAUGAUGAUGAACAGGAUGUACAAAUGCAGGAAUUGGAAGUUGGCCAUUUGUCUGGUGACGGGAGAUGCUCGCGAAUGCCAGUUUUUUACCAAGUCUCGUUCCUAAUAUUAGGUACGAAGUUCGUCUAAAAUGGUGAGUGAGAGAGAAAGUGGGUUCACCAAUACCUUAUAUUAUUAAUACUAUGUUAUAUUAUAUUAAAUUAUAUUAUAUUAUAUGGUAUCUUUCUUGAGGCCUUCCCAAAAUGCAGUAAUUUAAACGAUACGUGCAUGCGUGGGUGGGUGGGUAUAUAAUAUAAAGAAUGGAAAGGUAGAGAUGAGAGCUUGGGCCUCCCAUCAUCCAAACAGGUCCCCUCCCCGGUGCGUCGUUGUGGCUUGCUUCCUGGAAAACCGACUCCGGAAUUACAGAUUUUCCUGGCGACAAUCAUGGAGCAGAACAGCCCCCAACACCUGAGCGUCACCAUUGGCGAAUCCCGUCGCGAGCUCCUCUCUCCCCUCCCCGACGAUCCUCCCCCUUCCUCCAUGGACGUCUUCGUCGACGACGACGACGGCUACGACGGCUCCUCCGCUCCCUCAUGGCGUCUCAGCCUCACCGAGUUCCACCUCCCUCCCCGCGACCCCCACCGCCGCCGCCCCCUCUCUCGCUUCUCCUGCCGCCACCUUCUCCCUGCUCCGAGUAUCUCUCUCUCUCUCUCUCUCUCUCUCUCUCUCUCUCUCUCCAUGCCGCUUUUUCCGUGGAAGUGAAACUGCCUCCGUCGUAGUGUCAAAAUCCUGGCAUUUCCAUUUCCUUGCUUAUUCGCCGUUAUGUAUCUCUGUUGCGUAAUCCAAGCAUCUCCCGUGUUACACUUCGCACGAUCGCCACCCUCCGUGCGAUCGCCUCAUGCUUCGGCUUCUCUCCAUCGAAAGCAGCGACGCCUUCUCUGGAACGCAUGCGCCGUCGCUAACUCCAUGAAACUACGUUGAUACCUUAGACCAUGCUUUUGACAUUUUCGCUGGUCGACGGAAAUUAACAUGCCGUAUCCUGUCUGCAUCAUUUUUCUGGCAACUUCUCUUGCAGAAGCGCCACAACGUCUGGGACCGACCUGCUGUUGCUUGGUCCGUGUUUGUAUUUAUGGGUGAAUUUGUGCUUGGUCCGCUGGGCAGUGUUCCACCGUGGUGGGAUCCCACAAUAACACAGAUAUUCAUUGCCAAGUACUUGGAAUUGUUGAUUAUGACAUAGCUUUCGAGCCUUUUUUUCUUUUCUUUUCUUCUAGCCAGCACCCAGCAGUAUCAAUCAACAGAAACGCGGAUGAAAGUUAACGAGGUCUGACUUGUUGCUUCAUUAGACCGUCUAAAUCCAUCGCACCGUGUCCUUUCGACUUAGCUUUCUGUAAAACCUGUCAAAACUGAGCGGUACGAGGAAAGUCAUUCCGUAAGCAUCAUUUUAGUGAAAUGGAAAUUGAGUAUGAAGUUUUAAGAUGUUUAGUGGCAUGUAAUGGCUACUCUCACCCGUGGUCAAAUUCAGGUCAUAGUGUUGGGGAGUCAAGUUAUAUUAUAGAAUGUUAUUGUGCUUUCAACAUUAGGAGAAACCGUUCAAGUCUGGAUCUCCUUAUUUUGCUUGUAACUGACUCAGAUUGUAUUCAAUAAUUCCAAUUCAGGGAAAGAGCGCAAGAUAGCAGAAUAUUACGAGAAACAGGAAAGCCUUCUCGAAGGGUACAAUGAGAUGGAGGCCAUGACUGACUCAGAUUGUUUUCCAGGAAGCCUAACUGAGGUAGAUUGCAUGUAGCUCAUAUCAUCCUACUUUUCGUUAGUUUCAGACCUCCGAGGGGAUUGUGCUUUCUUAGCUCUAGGAAAAGCAGAUUCUUCGGCAUAAUGAAAUGCUUCUCCACUGGGUAGCUGUUGAAGCAAGAGAGACAAUCAUUGAGAUAAUAAACCUGAUUUUAUGACAUUGUACUUCGAGUUUUCUAAGAAGACAUCGCUUGUGAUCAAUUAACUGCAAUCUGUCAGGAUGAAAUGAAGCAGCUCGCAAAGAGUGAAAGAUUUGCGGUCCAUAUUUCAAACAUAGCAAACUUGGUGCUUUUCAUAGCAAAGGUCUUCGCUUCUGUUGAGAGCAGAUCGCUGGCAGUUAUCGCCUCAACCUUGGAUUCAUUCUUAGAUCUACUAUCAGGUUUUAUUUUGUGGUUCACGGCAAAUGCUAUGAGGAAACCAAACCAAUAUCAUUACCCUAUUGGUAAGAAGCGGAUGCAACCAGUGGUAUGUUCCCCUGAUUCCUUGGUUAAAAAAUUGUCGCGGAUCCAUGGGGAAACACAUGAAUCGAAUCGACUUUUCUUUUGCUCCCACUUAAUUUCGCUAGCCUUGCCUAGACCUAUGACUAUUAACUAUUGUUAUGGAUUACUUUCUCCCUUACUACUGGAAAAACGAGAUGUUCGAUUCUGACUGACCAUGUAACUUGGUUCUUCUGCCGUGCCUUCUUUUCUCUUUGUUAUGUCACUCGAUUACGAUGGAGUGCUCAUUUUUCGAUAGCUUUAGCAACCGUGAUAAUGCAUGUGUUAUCUUUAGAUAACAGCUGGCUGCUUAGUUGAAUUACAACAACAAAUUAUACUCAAUUUCCCUUUGUCUCUAUGAUUAGCUCACAAGAGAAGGCAGUGUCAGAUAUAGUUUGUGUAUAGCAGGGCUAUUGAAGUACUGUAGGAUGAAGCGUGGCACUGAUGACGGGAACCAAAUUGCCAUGCAGACCAGGGGUGACCAAAAAAUGACAAGAGUAGACGGUUCUGGUUUGAUUUGGCUUCAGGUCGAGAUUAUGUUGGUGGUGUCUUGAGUGUAUCCAUUGUUGGGUCCCUGUGGUCCGUUACUUACGAAAACCUGAUCAAUAUGAAUUUUAAGUUGUACUUAAUCCAUCUCUGAUAUUGAUUAACCACGUGAAGUACUUAAGACUAAAUAGCAUCAGAGCUAAGUGAAAUUUGGGAUGUUACAGUUCUGGUUUCACAGCGGAUUAUGGAGAGAUUAGGUGGAUUAGGAUUAGGAAGACAGAGCUGCUUUGGUUUUCGGAGUGAUGAGGUGAUUCAAGGCUUAGAGAAUGUAAUAGCCUGUACCCAUGAGAAUUACUAGGAUUUACACAAGUUAAUAUUAGGUCAUUACGAUUCUGAGAUCAAAGCUAAGUGAAAUUUGUGAUGUUACAUGUGGUGUUGUCUUACAAUCCUUCGUUUUAAUGUCCAAACACAAUAAAUCACAGUAAUGAGAGAGAGAAGAGGGGAGGGGGGGGGGGGGGGGGGGAGAGAGAGAGAGAGAGAGAGAGAGAGAGAGAGAGAGAAU
Molecule: long non-coding RNA, 48565 nt
Filed under: Eucalyptus grandis
Lineage: Eukaryota; Viridiplantae; Streptophyta; Magnoliopsida; Myrtales; Myrtaceae
Description: long non-coding RNA (EGRA_LNC003937)
Rfam family: MIR1846 microRNA precursor family (bases 10197-10280)
Source: RNAcentral